RNAcentral lists this long non-coding RNA (45591 nucleotides) under Gossypium barbadense (sea-island cotton). RNAcentral's name for it is "long non-coding RNA (GBAR_LNC013769)". Lineage: Eukaryota; Viridiplantae; Streptophyta; Magnoliopsida; Malvales; Malvaceae. The record is from RNAcentral.
CAUAAAUAAUAAAUGAGUAAAUAUUAGGUAAAAAUAGUCUAAAAACAACAAUGUAUAAUAAUAAAAAUAGUAGUAAGAAUGUAAAUAAUGAUAUUAGUGAUAAUAGAAGUAAUAAUAAUAAUAUAACAAUGGUAGCAAUGUUAAAAAAAUAACAAUAACAAUAGUAAAAUAAUGGUGAUACUAUGAAAAUUAAUUGCCUUAAUAGCAAAUAAAAUAAAAUAAAAUAAUAAAAGACUAAUUUGAACUUAAAACAGAAAUCUGGGGGGCAAAUUCACAAAUAAAUAAAAGAAAGGGAUCGAAUUGAGUACGCGGAUAACAAAGAGGGGCUAAAGGGGAAAAUAUCCCCGCUCUUUAAAACGCAGCGUUUUACAUAGGACCCAAAUGAAAUUAGAAUAAAAUUACAGGGCAAAAUAAAAAAUAAAAGAAAUCUGACAGAAAGGGCUUAAAUUAUAGAAUGGGAGAAAUGUUGAAGGACCCAUUUCAUAAAUACCCCAUCCAUCCCAAAACACGCAGGUUUGGUGGCAAUCGGGUCGGGUCAUGAAUAUCCGGGAUGAGACGGCGCCGUUUUUGGAGCCAUUGAGAUUUGGCUCUAACUACGUCGUACCCCGUUCCAUGUAUAUACUAUUUUAUGGAGGAGAAAAACCGUAGGCCACCAUAUCCCAUUUUCGGUCCUUGAAACCGAUUGAGGCUCAGGCCGUAUCCCACCGUCCUUAGCCGAGCAGCGCCUCCCUUUCAACUCCGAUUUCAACAGAGCAGGUGAGGGCGACGGUGGACUAACGGAGGUAAUCCCUCUUCUCUUUCUAUUUAGUAUUAUUCCUAUCUAAAAAAAACGAAUCGGAAAUAAAAAGAAACCAAAAUAUCACCUUUUUUUAAUUUUUGAUUUCUUUUUUUUUUGUAUUCUUCUCUGUAUAUUUCUGUCAAAAAAAGUUUACAUAUGGUUCGGUCUUUUAUAGCUGAGAAUAAACGAUACCACUGUUUUAUUUUCCUCUCGUUACUAUUUUUUUUUUUGUCCUUUCUCUGUCUUUUCGUCUUUUCUUGUUUCGUUUGCAGGCCUGGACGAAGUCAACGGAGAUGAAAUUUUCCGUUUUGGUGCAAAGGGGGCUAGGCCUCGGGCAGUGGACGCGCUGACACCGCACGUGGAGGCAGCGGCGCAGAGGGAUGUGGCUAGGGCUUGCUUUCCUCCGAAAAUAGUUAGGUGUUGGGCUUAGGGUUUGAAUUUGAUUUUGGGCUUUGGGACUGGGGUUGGUUUAGUUUGGGCUUAUUUUUAUUUGGGUUUUUAGGCCCAGGUCAAAAUUGACCUGUUACAAAAUGUUUAUAGUACAAAUGAGCACGAAUAAUACAUAAUUAUGUAAUAUUUGUUAUAUUAUCAUGCGUAAUUACAUUAUCAGUAAACAUUUGUUAUACACAUAUCUCAUCUGUAAAAUUUUCGUGCUCAUAUAGUAAAAUUUGGUAUUGCCAAUUUUAGUGUUGAUGUAUCAGCUAGAAACAUUUUACUGAUAAUAUUUUUGAGCUAGAAGCGUUUCAUCAAAAUUGGUCCAUUCCCGUAAUUUUUCAAAAAAUCAACUUAUUUUUGGAAUUUAAAAGAAAAAAAGGCUUUAUAUGGAAUAUCACUCAAAAGUAAGUAGCAAAGACCCUUUUUAUAGUAGAAUUCAAACUUUUCGUUUACGGAGGAAAUAUGACUAGUUACAACAUAAUUGUGCUAAUUAAUUGUUAUUUUCAACCUUUUUCUUUAGCAUUUUUAAAAGGAAAAAAUAGAGAAUGUUACUCUUACCUGGGGUGGCUUCUACUAGUUAAUUGUCUAAAGUUAUGAUUAAUUUUUUUCAGAAAAUUCAUUGUGUUAAUUCAACAAGCCUAAAUCCUUGUGUAUGCAAUAAAUUUGCAAACCAUUGAGUUUUAUAAUGUGAAAUUCUAAUAUUGCUAAAUUUCUUGUCCCACUAACUGAAAUAACCAAAAAUUGCCGAAAGUAAGGUAAUCACUAGCUUGCUAAUAUAAUUCUCCAGCUUCCAAUGAAUAUAGAAAGUACUAUACAGCAUCAGUAAAUCUAACUUUAAUGACCUAAAAUUCUUCUUGAGAUACAGUAUAAGGGUUCAUAUUUACAAGUUUUAUGCCCAAGAAGUUUCUCUGAAAACUAUAUAUACAUACAUAUAUAUUGUGGUUCAUAAAACAAGACCUCCAAAAAUCCAAAUGCUUACCAGUUGAGGAACAAACUUCUGGUGAAUACAGCCUAGACAUAUUGAUGGUUCUCAUGGACGAGCAGCCGAAAGUGAGCUGAGAGCACGUAGACGAUGAAAGUACUCCCCCAUGGCAAGUAAAACUCGAGCUGCUUGACGGGUUGUCAGGAUUCGAGCCAUCUGCUGCAGCGUCUGCUGGCGAAGGUGAUCAGCCUGUUUUGGGAACAACACAUGCAAAAUCCAGUAAACAAAGUGCACAUCUUAGGAUAAUAUACUAACAUACACUUGAGAAUUAUUCAAACAAUUCUAGACAAUCUUAGAUAUGUUAUAUAUUUCUACAUAAAUUGUCAUGAAAUAAAGAAACUCCAUUCUCCCUCCUCUCCGAGCUGUGAAAGCCGUUAAAGUGGUGUCAUUUCAUAUCGUGAGUCUUUGAUUGCUUGUGAUCAUCAUAUUCAAGUUCGGCAUCAGUUGGUUUUAGGUUAAAUGCUUAACAAAAACAUCAGUGGCACAUCAACAACACCCUCACAUUCUCAAGCUUUGAUUUUUCAUUUAAAAGACUGAACUCAAUAUUUAAGUUCAAGUGAUCAGAUACAACUGAUGAAAAGCAAAGAAUGUCAUACCUGGCUUACAAAGUUUUCUAAGGCUUCCAAUUUAUCUAUUGCAGCAACCAUCUGAGCUCUGUAGUUUCCUGAACACAAAUCAGAUGCUACACUCUCGGCCAAACUCUGCUGCAGUUUUUCUACUCCUUGGGAAAGAGCAUCUUCAGCUUCCUGAGAAGAUUGUCGAAGAUUACAUACUUCCAAAUGCUGUUGAUCAGUCAACGGCUCAAUUUGUGGCACCACAACCUGAACAAACAGAAUUCCAAAAUCCAUAAUUCAUGAGUAGAAAAGUAGCUACUAUUGGUGCAUCAGCCCUACACUAUUUGAUUAUCAUGAGAAGUUAUUGACCUCAGUCGGUAGCUCAUAUGGCAUCUCCAGGAAAAGACAAAAGAAACUAAAGAUUUGAAAAUAUCCAAAUAAAGCUUCAGAUCGUUGAGGAUAAAUGUACUUGUCUUCACUUUACUCUUUUACUCUUUACUAAUGCAACAGUUGAUAUCAAGUGGUGAAAUAAUAUUCACUAGUUUCCGUAGUUGGUUUUUGCAAGCUCAUUAGGAUCUGUACAUGCUUCUCCGAAGAAAAUGUUUCCUACAUGGAAGAUCUCCAUGAUUCUAUGUAGGGUAGAUAUCUUAUGAGAGAAUUUGGGAUGAAUUUAUUCAUAUUAAUCGAUAACGAAUUGGCAGCCUUCCAGAAAAAUAAGAGUUAUACGAGAUUGAGCAUUACAUUUAAAAGCGCCGACGGGCGGAAUCCUCCGAUCCAGUGGAAAAAACGCUCGGCUGAAGUUCUCCAUAUACCCGAGAUCAAAUAGAAGACAUCUGCCUUAGCAGCAUCAGCUUUCAUGCGGAACAGAUUGUAAUAGUGGUUCAAGCCACUUUCUACGAGUAUAUGGAGCUCUAUAUCAGUAAUGUGUGCCUGGACUGCAGUUCUAAGUUCACAAAUCAGUCUAUUUUGCUCUUCAACCCAGUGUCUGUAUUCCAUCUCAAAUGAAGUAAUCCCUGCCAAAUUCAAAUGAAAAGAUUCUAAACAAGAAAGCAAGACAUAUGCACUUUACAUUUACACGAGAAAAAUGUGAAAUUCAAAGGGAGGGAAACCUUUGCUCAUUGGUUGCUAGUUAAUGAAGCAUAAGGUAAAACAAGUCUACUUUCUUUGAAAGCUAUAUAAAUUAAAUCUUCCAUCACUUAUGUGCUUCGCAUUGUGAUUUGUGAGACCUUCGGACAUAAUUUUCUAUUGUUUGAAAUAACAACUAGCUUACCGAUUCCAAUUAUGCAAUAUCAUUAUUGUGAAUGUCAAAAUUACAAAAGAAUGAAAAUUAUACAAAAUUUAUGCUAGUAAACAUGCGAGCAUAAUAACUUUCAUUCAUGACUUAAGUGAAGAAAGCCAUUGAACUAUAAUAACCACUUUAAUUAAGGAAAUAUCUCAAAAAAGUGCUAAUAAGAUGAUAAAACUUGCUCAUAUAAAACAAAUAUAUGACAGUGAACUAAGAUGUCGGGAAGGUUAAUAUUCUGCGAGUCAAUCUAUAAAGCAAAAACAAUGAUAAUUGAAGUAGAUUAGAUCACAAACCUGAGUUUACAGUUCCAGACAGUCCAAAAUAACCAGCCUCUGAUGCACCGGCUAUCUGUAUACCCUGCGUUAAGGCAUUAGCUAAUCUGUUACAUAUGCCACAUUUAUAAACAUGAUUAAAAGAGAUAUUUUUCUUGAAAAUAAAAAGAAAAGGAAAAAGAAAUGCCUUGUUGAUAAACAGAGAAAACAUAUUUUGGGGGGGGGGGGAGAGAGAGAGAGAGUUCACUUCACCUGCUGCCUAGCUCUUUCAAGCUCUUGCUCCAAUUGAGCUAGUUUCAAACGACUUGAUUCUAGUUGUUGAACAUAGGCCUAUAAGAGAAAAUCAGUUUACAAGUACUUGUAGAUGUUCAAUCAAUGAAAUAACUGUUCAUCUACCUUUUUCCGCAUUCGGCUUUUACGAGCAGCUUCACGAUUUUGAGCCAAACGUCUCUGUAUCUGCACAUAUUAUGCUUCUUUAAAUAAAAGAUAAAUAGAGUUGAAACAGGUAGGAGAUGCGGGAGUUCUAAUAUAUUUAAAAUGUAAAACAGCUACACAGCCGCAGAACAGGAACCGCACAGAUUGGAUUUUAUAAUACUUUCCUUUAAAAAGGGUUCAGGGUUAUGUCUGGACUUUGAAGCAUGCCUUAAGCACAAAUGCUCACAAGUAGGCAUUAGCACAUAUGACAGAAAAAAAAAAGCUAUUAUUUCUUAAAUGUUAUCGAGGGAAGAUAUGUGUCUUGCAGAGAAAGAGCAAAUGCGGCAAAUUCAUUACCUUAUCGGAGGGUUUGUUGGUUUCUUGAUCACUAAUGGAUGGUUCCACUUGCUCACAAGGUAUACAUUCAGCCUAGGAUUUAAAUCAGCAUAAAUUAGUUAUAGCCUGAAACUGAAUAAAAUGCUUAACCAACCAAGAAAUAAAACUACGAUGCAAUUUCACCUUGUUCUUUAGCCUGACAUCUGCUGGAACAAUUGUGGAUGAUCCAAUAUUUGGACUAUUGUCACCAUUGAAGGUGUCUGCCCACCUGCUUAUAUGGUGGAAUUGCUCAUAUAUCGCCAUCCUUCUGGUAAGUUCAGUUGAUGGAGAGCUCAUACUCUAUCAAGCAACUGGAACAGAACCAAAAACCAACAAAUAGCUUACAAAUCUUAUGCCGAGGACAGAAUCUUAGAUUUCAACAAUGCUUACAUUGUUUCCUUACCUCUAUCCAUGGAUCAAUCUCCAUGGGUGGAAAACAAUGUAGUGAUACAAAUGCUGAAACGAGAACACAACAAAGAUCAUCUCAAUACUAGCAAAAGUCCCAAGAACUACAGAACAUCUAAGCUAUAUGUAGGAGGGAUCUAAUAAUUUUUCUUGUUUGGACCAAUUGAGUUAUGUUAAGAGUUUCCCUCUCUUUCUAGCGUGCAUUACUAUUAAGGAUGUUGGAUGAAGGUUUCUAGUUUUCUCCAAAGGCAAUAAAAAUGACUAGAAAAAGAAAUUACUAACACUUCUAAAUGAAUAUCUAUAACUAGCAAACAGGCAUGGGGAAACAUAGCAAAGUUAUAAACAAGAUGUCCCCUCUUAUCUUUCUUAAACUCAAAACAAAGAAAAUACUAUUCAACAUUUUCAAGCCUAAUGAAAUUCAAUUUCCCUUCACAUGAAAAUCUAGAUGAGAAAAAUUGGGUAAAAGUACCAGGGAGGCCCCUGUACUAAGAGUUAGAUUGCAUUUUGCCCCCUUUACUAAAAAAAUGAGCAAAUUACUCCCUAUAGAUCAAAGAGCAAACUGAUCAUUCUGUAAAAAAAUCAUCCAUUUGUACUGUUAAAAGCUAGUGUGAUUGACAGAAUAACUAAACAGUGACACAUAGCGUGCCACAUGUAAUAGAAAUAGAUGAAAUUUUUAACAUAAGGACCAAUUUGCUCUUUUAUCUAACUUACAGGGACUAAUUUACUCAAUUUUUUGAGUAGAGGGGACAAGAUGCAAUCUAUCUCCUAGUAUAGGUGGUACUUUUACCCUCAUGAUAAACAUUAGUUCACAGUUCACUCCAAAAUGAUGUACCAAAAUACAAGACAACCAGCUCUACUUUUACAUUCAGUUCUUGCUCUUAGUAAGUAACUAGACUCGGCUAAUGCUCUUAAUUGGCGCCAAAGUUACAUGUUACAAAUUACAAGCAUCCACAAAGUAUACCAAACUUCCUGCAUGGCCAUCAUAGAUUACACCAACCCAGUAAAGCACAAAUUUACUAUACUGAUGUGAUCAAAGAAGGAAAAAUGAAAAUUGAAUCUCUCAAAAGUUUCAAAUUUCUCGUCAACCCAGAAUAGAAAACAACAAAAGUUGAAAUUUAGAAACUUAACUAAUCUUAAUAAAUAGAAAAUUGAGCCUUUCAAAAUUUACAUAAAAACUUGAGAGCUGAGAAACUUUACUAACCUUAUGGAUCAACAAAACUUCAGAUAAUCAAAGUCCUUCAAUUAAAAAAGGAAAGAAAGAAAUUGAACACUCAAACACUCUGUUGUUGCUGUAAAAACAGCAUUUUCAACCACUCCAUGAAAGCAAAUAAAAGAAAACAACCCAAAAAUUAAAAAUAGUUCAUAAACAGAAAGAAUUUGUAAAUAUAUUUAUUUCUAAAAAUCUCUAGUCAAACGUUAACGUCUGAGUGUUUGUACAGCAGCAAAAAAUAUAAAUAAGGAAAAAGACGAUAUGCGCAUAACUUUUUUUUUUUUAUCCUACGCACCCUACUCUCCCUUAACCUACGCCACUUAUUCCCCCAGGCCUCAAUUAGUGUCAUCAUAACUGACGUCAUUUCCCGGUCCAAAUUAUAACGAACAUUUGGCCCUUUAAAGGAUUUGCUGGUGGUCGUCCGUUGGGGACCCACGUGGUGGAAUAUGAUUGGUUGGGAAGUUUGUAAAGCUAGCAGACAGCCACUCAUCUUUUCCCUAUUCUUUUUAUUUCUAAUAAUAAUACAUUUCUAGAAACCAAAGGUAUUUCUUUUUAACAAUAUUUUCUCUUAGUAUUACAAACAAGUAACACGACACAAAUUUUACUAUAUGCUUCAAAAUAUUUAUAUAUAACAAAAUUUUUAAGAGAAAUAAAGUUAAUGAUUUUAAAGAAUCUCAUGAGCUUGAAGAGUUUUUUUUUUGAAGAGAUUUGAUUGGGUUUUGUCAUAUUUAUAAGCCUCUCUUAAUCAUAAAGAGGGCUUUUAUAGAGAUGAUCCAUCUAAAAAGUGAGUGGAUUUGGGUAAAAAUAUAAAUUUAAAAAAUAAAUUUAGGAAAAAAAAGUAGGCCCGCCUUGAGUAAGCUCUUUUUAGCCCCGAGCUCGACCAAAAAAAAACGGUUGCAUUUUAGUGCUAUUUUGAUGCCGUUUUGCUAUUAUAUUGUUACUAUUUUGUUGUUAUUAUUUGGAUAUUAUGUAACUCUUGUUUUAUUGUUAAUUUUACUACUAUUUUAGUUGUAUUUGUUUGUUAAGGUACACCUAUCUUGAUGUUAUUUAAGUAUAAAUAAUUUUUUAAAUUUAUUUUCAAUUUGUUGGGAAAUAUUUAUUUUAAUAUUUUUAGUGUAUCUGAUGUAUUAUAUUUUUUAAAUUUGUUCUUAUAUAAAAAAAAUUAAUACGGGUGAACCAGGUCAGGCUGAGAUUUUAGCAUUUUUAUCUAACCGGAUUUAAAUAAAAUUUUAAGCCAAAUUAUUAGAUCGAAUUAAGUCAAAAACUUAAAAAACGAACUUAAAAUUCUACUGAGUACAGGCUUAACCUAUAAUCACCUCUAAUUUUAAUGUAGGUCACACCAGAAAAAUACAAGUUGGUUAUAAAGGUAUGGAUGGUUGAUUAGUAUGUGAUGGGGGCAACUUGAGGAGAAUGUAUGAGAAUGGGUAUAAUAAUUGACCCUUAGUGGAGAAUAAAUUAUUAAGUGAUGUUAUACUUGUGGUUAAUACUUUAGUAGGCUAAACUUGACGAAUUCUCUCUCUCCAAAACCAUAACACUAAGUAAUCUAGAUUUUUAGUAUUUAAAAAUCACUCUAUAUAUAAAUUUGUGCUUCACACAUUUGUGAAGAGUUUGUACAAUUAGGGAGGAAAAAUGAAGAAUUAGUAACAAUUAACACUCUUAUUAAAACGCCGACGUUUUGAAAAUAUUUAGAUUUUAUAUUCGAAUUUUAUUUUAAAUAAAUAUUUAGAUUUUCAAAUUUAUUUUAAUUAUGUUUUUGUAAUAAAUAAAUAAAUAAAAGGAACAGGUCAUUUCUUUUCCUUGGGAGGGGGGGGGGGUAGGGGCUACCCCAUGAACCACAUUAACCCUUAAAUAAUACCACCAAUUUGCAUGUAUAAUCUGCCUAUCUCUAUCACUCCUUUUCGCUCUCACUUUCAACACACAUAUACCCACAUUAUUACGUUGCAUUUACGUAGCAAACCAUUUUCCCUGCCGAAAAUGUAUUAUUAUGAUGGUUACUUAUUUUUUUUCUUGAACGAGUUUUAAUUUGAUUGAUAUGAAUAUUAUUAUCAAUGCAAGAGGACGUGGGUUCGAGUGCAUUGAAGCGCAUUAUCUUCCUAUUUAUGGGUUGGGGAGAGACUAUGAAUAGCUUUAAGCACUAUGUCAAAAAAAAAUAGAUAUGAUCAGAACCUAUAAUGAGAUUGUUCAAAAAUUUUUUUUUUUUUGAAAACACAGCUUCACAAUAUCUUGAAUAUUAAAUUUUCAAAAGCAUGUGUUCUUUUUGACACAAUGCCUAGAAUUAUUCAUAACCCUUCCUCAACUCAUAAAUGGGAGGAUAAUACGUUUCAGCGCGCUCGAAUUCAUGUCCUACUAGAUUAGUAACAAUACCCACGGCAAUCGAAGUAAGACUCAAUUGAUUUUAUCUUUAUUAUUUAUUGGUGGAUAAAUGAUUUUUCUAGAAAAAAAAAGGAAAACAAUGGGGAAAUGGCCUAUAUAUGUUAAUGCCUGCUUUUUUUCCCUACAUGAUUGCCACUAUAUAUAAGAGGAGCACUAAAUUUUCUUUAUAGGAAUCUCAACAUUAUUAUAGUUAAUUAGAUAUUAUAGGUAGCAACAAAUGAAAGCCCCUUUUGAGUCCAAAAUGAGUUGCUCAUAUCAUAUCUAGUUUGGGUUAAGCUAAUUAAUUAAGAUAAGGGAGAGGGAGAGAAUCAGUGUGUAAAGUCUAAAGAGGAAAAGACAUCCACCAUAGAAAUUAGGUCACUUUUUCUUUAAUGCUUUCAGGUGGGAAAUUUUAAUUUCUUUCUUUGCUUUGCUUUUAACUUUUAAAUUUUAUUCUUUGAAUUUAGCUCCCUUCCCUACCUCCCAUAAUCCCAUUACUCAUGGGAUGGAAUCCAAGUGGCAUUCUUUUAUACAAAUUCUGGCUUGCCAAACAUAUAUAAAAGAUGAUUUUAAAGUUUUGGGCUCCUGUAAAGCAAUUUGAUGACUGAAUCCUUAGUUAACGACCUGAAAAAAAAGAUAGCUUUUUUAAGCCAUGCAAAUGGACAAAUAAUGGGGUUUUUUUAUUUUUAUUUAAGAAAAUAUUAUUAUUAAUAGGCAUAAUGAAUAACAAUAAUAUACGAUUCGGUGUAUAGUAUAAACAAUAAAUAAUUCACUAUAAAUUAAUGCACAAUUGUUAUGUCUAUAAAGUAAUCUAAAGAAAAUGACAAAUUGACAGUAACUGUAACAUUGGAAUAAUUCAUAAACAACUCAGAGAUGCAUUAACUUGAUCGAAUCGCUGAAAUUUAUAUCCUAGCAUCAUCAAAUUAACCUGAUGAUGAACAUCAAUCAACCAACAAAAGAUUGCCAAAAGCCUCAAGAGACCCCACUGUAUCAAUGAUGCAAAAAAAGUUAAGUCUUAGAUAGCUUAUCAUUCUCCUCAUCAUCUUAAAUUUAUCAUCAUCAUUAUGAUAUAUCGUGAUAAAGCUCUUUGAGAACAAUUCUUAAUAGAUUUGGUGCGCGCCUUUAUUUUGGAAAAUUUCACAUAUAAGUCAAAACAUAACUAAAAAUUAAAAGUAAAAAUAAAAUUAUCUCUACUUUUAAAGAAAAUAGAGCGGGCAAAACAAAAACUACGAAAAAUAUAUACAUAUAAAUAUACUUAUUUUAUUUUUAUUUUGUCUGAGGCACUUUGGUAAGGAUUGAACUACAUGUACGGUGGAUAGUAUAAAUUUGAACAUAGUUUAUCCUAAUUUAGAGCCAAACCUAAUUAUAAAUUUUUUAGUUUUUAUAAAAAAAAAUAUAGAUUUCUUCUCCAAGCAUUCGAAUAGUUCAAAUCUUAGAGUCAUCAUUAUUGAAAAGAUUUUACUCAAAUUCCGCUCUCAACCUGAAUAAGAUUAAUUUCAAACCGUAAAACGAAUAAAUAUAUCUAUAAUUACAUCAAUAAAAAAACUUAAGAUUCAAACCCUUCCAAUAGAUUCCCUUUUUUAAAAAAUCUUUCUAAAUUCAAAACUAAUUAUAGGCGAAUAUUUGGUGUUGAGAAUCAAUCGGAUAACAAAAAAAAUAGUGAUUUCAAUUAAUAUGUGGGCCCUCCAAAUGUUUUACUUUAGUUUCACCUCAGACAAAAAAAUAAACUUUAUUUUUAACUUUUGAAAUUGAAAUCAAAAUCUUAUAGAAUAAAAAUCAAAAUAUUUGAAACCAAUAAUUGUGAUUUGGUUUGAAUAUAUACAUAUAUAAUAUUGUUUCGGAAAAAACUAAUAUUGUAAUUCUUGAUUUUUUUUUUUCAAACAACAAUCAUGAUACAUGCUCUGGAUUCAUUUAUAUAUUUAUAAAGUGCAUUGAAUAAUUAAAUUAAUGUCAUAAUCAUUCAAAUUAGUUGUUAAAAGAAAAGUUAAUACAUAAAUCAUUCUUAUACCUAAUAUUUUGUUCUAUCAUUUCUUUUAAUUAGUUAUAACCGAGUCAUUGCAAUAUGCCAUAUAAUCAAUUAAAUUCAUAAAUAUCACAUGUAUAUAAUUAACAACUUGCGAAUAAUGAUUUAUUUUAUAAAUAAAAUAUUAUAAAUUUUCAUACACAAUUUUUCUAAAAUUAGAAUUAGCUUAUAAUUAUAAUUAUGAUAUUUAAGACUUAAUUUACUUACUCUAAUAUAAAAUUACACUUUUAUAACUUUUUUUUAUGAAAUAUUUGUUUGUAUGAAUAUAUCUAAUUUUACUAAUAACAGUUGGAUUAAAUGAAUUGAUCUAUUGUUAGAGAUUGUGUGACCUGAAUCUCGUCACUUGUUGAGGAAAUAAAUAUAGUGGCACAAUAAAGGAAUCUGUGGGGGCGAAAGGCCGAAGGCCGUAGGCCAUACAACACAAGUUGAAUCCAUAUAGAACUAUUCUUUUUCUAUUUGACUUUGAUUAGAGCAUGAUUUUUUAACCCUUAAAUAGAUGUAGUUGAAACUCCUAUUACAUCAUUCGUUUUUCAAGAUUAGUGAAUUUUCUCCUCCUUUGCCUGUGAUUUUUUUCCCGAAAGGGUUUCCACGUAAAAUAUGAGUAUUCUUUUUCUUUUCUUAUUGCUUUGUAAUUGUUUUACCGCCAUUAUCGAUGUUUAUUAUAACAUCUAUAUACAUUGAAAUGAUCAAUCUAUUAUUUUAUAAGAACUGUUCCUUCAUUUAGUCUUAUUUAAAUAAAACGAGUUCCAUGUAAAAAGAAAAAAAAACUGAACUUGAAUGGAAUUAUGCGAUUUGAAUAAUAACAUUAAUCUAAAACUAAAUUAAAUAAUAUAAAAUUUAAACCGAACUGAACACAUUAACUCGAAUCAUUUACUUAUAUUCAAUUUAAAAAGUAUUUCUUUUGUGGAUGCAUAGGAUGGGCAAAAGACAAAAACAAAUUGAUGUAACUUUUGUUCAUUAAUAUAAAUGAUUAGAUCAAAAGAUAGGAUAAUGCUUACCACUGCCACUGAAACGUCUUCUUUUUGUUGCCCUUUUCCUUUUUAACCAAAUUUUAGAACCUUUAGAAAAACAAAAGCAAUCUCAUCACCUCAAUAAUUCAAUCCAAUCCUUAUUUUUCAUACAAUAAUAUUUAUGCCUAGAAUUGCGUUAUGGAAAUGAGAUCUUUGGGUAUGAAAUGGGAAUAUUUUAAUAAUUCAGUGUCACAUCAAUAAUUUUAUAUUAAAUUUUAAUUUUUUUUAAAAUAAAAAUAUUGAUAUAACAUUAAAUUAUUUUAAAAUAGAUACAAAUAACAUGGAGUCUAUGUUUCGUACUAUUCUUUUUCUGAUUACCAAUUGUAUUUAUAAAGGAUUUACUUUUCACUAAUGCAAUUCGUGAAACGUCUUCACAAAGGAAAUUCUCUUGGAGUUCAAGGAGCUUGUCAUUCGCUCUUUAAUUCCUUUAAUCGUAGUGCUUCAUUGAUUAAAGCAAUCAUAUCUAAUCAUAUAUAUGUUACAAAAGAAAAAGAAAAGAAAAGAAAAAGCUAGUCAUAUAUGUUAUAAAAAAAUAGAAAAGUAUAUGGAAAUUUUGAGUUUUAAGUUAAAUUUUUAUUUUUAAAAUAUUUUUUAAUAAUAUUUAUUUUUAAAUAUGAUUUUAUUACUAUUAUUGAAUACGUAUGAUAUAUAAUAUAAAUAUUUACAAAUUAAAAUCAUUAAAAAAUAAAUAAAAUAUCCGACAUAUAUAAUGAUAUAGACAUUUUUAAUUGAUAUUAUAUUAUGUGACCAUUAAUUAAUACGAAGUCAUAUUAUUAAUCAAUAAAAAAUUUCAUUAAAAUGGUUAAUUACUGAGGUAAACGAAGGGAAGGAGAUGAUGGUUUGAUGAAGAAGGAAAGAGCACAGGUUGGGAGGAAGUAUUAAUUCUCUUGGGGGAGAUGGAGAUUUGGUGGGUUGUCUAGGUGAGUUUGUGAGCUAUUUGCAUAGCUCUUUUAUAGUAGAGGAUAAUUUUGGUAACGUCUUAAGAUACUUGGCGUGAAAGCCUGAUUUGAUAUAUUUAAUAGUGAUAAUGAUGUGAUGUCUUAGGAUGAGAUAUGUUACAAUGACUAACAAUUAACUAUUCAGGAUUUCCACAUGAUGCUCAUAUAGUCUUAGAGAUACAUAGUUCGUCAGGCUGAGGUUUGCGUGCUAACUAUAGGUGAGGAGGUGCAUAGUUCGCCAAGUUGAUAUUCGCGAACUAACUAUUGAUAAGUUGUUAGAUCUGUUAUAUGAGGUAUAACAAAAAUCACUAUGAAAAGUAAAUUUUAUUAUAAAUUUCCUUCAAAAAGAUUAUUUAUAAAUUAGAUAUAUUUUAUUUAAAAUAAAAAAAAUAUUUAUAAUAAUAAUUUAGAAAUAUAAUGAAUAUCUAACUAUUUCCAUUAGAUAAAUAUAUAUAUACACACAAUAAAUGGGAAAAUCUACGGUAAAUGAAGGCUUGCGAAUCGAACUCAAGCCACACUUGGAGCGGUGAGCACCCUUAGCCGUCAAGUCAUUACAUGGGUUUCAAUAUAUAUAUUUUUAAUUUUUAAUCAACAAACGGGCUGGACUUUAUGAGAAUAAAACAAAUAGAUUAAAAACAAAAGCAGUAUAAGGCCCAAAACAAACAGGCCUGCAAGCAAAAUUAGAUAAAACACCCCGAAAAGACGUUACCAGCGACAUUUAAAUGGAAUCCCAUUUUAUUGAAUAUUUUCAUUUAUUAUUUAUUUUAUAAAAUAAUAUUUGGUAUAUUGUUAAUAGAGUUUUCAGACUCCACAAGUAGAGUUAGGGAGAUUGACAAAUGUCUUAUAUGAGUAUACUAAAAUAAUAAUAAAAUAUUUUAAAAAAGAGAAACAUAUGACAAUUUUUUAAGAUAGCUUGUGAAAUAAAAAAAAAACACUUUUAUUACCUAUUAAUAUAUUAAAUGGGAAUAAAAUUAUAUUAGGAUCAUCCUAAAAAACAUAGUUUUUAGGCACUAAUAAAAUAGUGCCACGUCAUUAAAUUUUAAAGAUAGUAAAGUAUUAUUAUACACUCAUCUAUAUCUAAUAUCUUCUCCAACUUAAUUUAACUUGAAUUAAAUUACUUAAAAUAAUUAAUUUUUUAAAUUAUAAACAAACAUCUUUUAUUCUUUUACAAGUUUUAAUUAUUCUGUUUUUUUUUCAUAAGUUAAUAUUUUUUAUUUUUAUGCAACCAAAUUUUUUAAAAAGAUAGUAAUUUUUGUACAAUUUUUUUCAUGCCAUUGACACAUGAUUUUGGUAAUUAUUUUAUCUUGAACCCCGAACCUUGAGGUUCAGGGUUUCAAUUUGAGAUUUAAGAUUCAUAGUUUUUAUUUGAGAUUUAGGGUCAGUUCUUCGUUGCUGUGGAAAAGUGCUGUGGAAAAGUGCUUUUGAAAAGUUUGAUUUAAAAUUUGAGUGUUUAGCAUUGCUGUCAAAAAGUGCUUUUGAGAAAUAAAAUUUUCAUUUUAAACAUGUUAUUAUCAAGUAACAAAUAUGCAUUUAAAUAAUAUUUAAAUUAGUUAAUAUUAUUAUAUUUUAGUAAGAAUAUAAAAAAAUUAUUAUAACUUGUUGUUAAUAUUUUAAUAUAUGAAAUAUAAAUUUUAAAUAUUUUUAAGCAAUAAAUAUUAAUUAUUUAUAAAAUUUAAUUAGAAUAUAUAAACUAUAUUUUAAAUAUUUAAAUAUAACCAUUAAAUAUUUGUAAUUAGUAUUUUAAAAAAUAUUUUUUUAUUUUUAAUUAAUGAUUUUAACACAUUUGUACUUAAGCACCAAGAAAAAAAAAAGAAAAUACUAUGUUAUUGGAGGGGUGAAAAAGUAAUUAAACACCAAAAGUACUUUUGGGAGAGGAAAAGCUGAAAUUUUUAGCUUCUCCUUCUCAGAAGUGCUUUUGAAAAGCACGUCUGAAAAACUAAAAAUUUCAGCCAAAAGCAGCUUGUUCUUCACAGCUUUUCUUCCAAAAGUGCUUUUGGAGUCAGAAAUACUUUUUUUAAGCAAUGAAGAACUGGCCCUUAAGGUUCAAGGUUUGGGCGUUAGGUUUGGGAUUCAAGGUUUAAAGUUUAAAUUUAUAUUUAGGGUUACAAAUUAUGAGUUCAAGAUUCAGGGUUUGAGUUUAGGGUACAAGGAUUUAAGAUUAUAGUUUGGGGUUCUAAAUCUUUGAGUUAGGAAUUAAGAUUCUAUAUUCAAGUUUCAGGGUAAAAGAAAUUCUCAAAAUUAUUUGUCAAUGACAUGAAAAAAAUUGUUGAAAUAUUAUUAAAUAAUUGAAAAGGAGCCAUGAAUAAUACGGUGGAAAUGGUCCAUAAAAUAAUUUAUCUAUUAAUGAGUGUAUAAUAAUAAUUUCAUAACUUUAAAAUUUGAUGAUGUGGUAAACAAAUUUUGGUGCCUAAAAACCUUAGUUUUUAAGAUCAUUCUAAUGUAAGUUAUUCCCCUAUUACAUAUCAUGUUUGUAUUAAAACCUUAACUCUUCUUCUCAACAAGUUCUGAAGUUUCAAGAGCAAAUGAACAACAGUGCCAACAAUACUAGGAGUAACACUGCCAAAAUACCGAAAUUAUAAAAGAGUAGAGGGCAAGUCAAACCCCCUUCCCUCCAAACCCAACAUGAUGAAGCUGCUUUUUCUCUAAAUGCCCAAGGUUAAGCUCAUAAUUCCCACUCAAAAUCUUUGACCACAACAACAUACAUGUCACGAUGAGAUAGAGGUGUUAAGAAGAAACAUUCAAGCUUUAAGGCCCGAAGAUAAAGAAAUGGACUAGGCCUUUUGUUCUAAUACCCCCCUUUGCCUGUGAUUGGAAGUGCUGAUUUGCCACAAAGGAGACAUUCAUGCAACUGUGCAUUUAAUGUAGUAUCACUACGACAACAACUAACCGAUUACUAUGCCUACUAUCAUUAGCUUAAAUCAAGUCAGUUUUGUUGUUGGGAGGAAUAUGACUAAUAAUAUCAUUAUAGCUUAAGAGAUUAUCUAUACCACGAGGAUGAAGAUAGAGUAAACGAUUUAACUAUGAGAAUUAUUUUAAUGUAAACACUAACUUUGUGUUUGUCUUUUAUAUAGGAAGAGUGAUUAACUUUAGGUAACAGCCAAAUAAGACGACGAUUAUCGUUUUUAUAAUUGAGAUUAGUAUGGUUCAUAAUCUAAGUUUUGGGUUAAUUAUUUAUUUAUGUCAAAUUAUAGAGUAAACUUUUGAAGGCUAAAAUAUGAUUUAAGUCGUAUAUUAAAAAUUUAGUCCCUAUUUUUACUUUUAAGGAUUUAGUUCCUUUAUUUUUUGCUUUAAAAAUUUUAAAUCUAGUUGUUAUGAUUAUUAAAAUUAUUCUAUUAAACUUACUAGUGCACAUUUUUUAAAUAAAAGAAAAUAUUCACUUGUUAGUCAUGUAACAAUAAAAAUAAUGUUAAAAUUAUUAAUGUGGAAUUUUUUUUCUUAAAACACAUAUUCAAACUUGUCAUGAGUUUUUUUUGUGGUUAGAAUAGUGUUCUUAAAAUUCACGUUAGCUUUGAUAUUGUUAACAAUAUUAACUAUUUACUAAUGAUAUUAUAAAAAUAGAGGACUAAAUUAUGACAAAAAAUAAAAUAUAUAGAUUAAGAUCACAACGAUGGUGGUGGGGCAAGCUUCACAAAGAACAAUUUCAGUAAUGAGAACGAUCAAGAGCUUUUCUUUGUCGUAUUCAGCCAAAUCUGAUUUCGGAUUUGGGAUCCUGCUAAACACUGACCCAACCCAUAAUUUCAUUUGUUGGCAUUUGGUUGUCCCUUUGAAGGAAUUGCUUCCUUUGUUCCCGAAAAUCAUGGGUUCAAUCGAUUGUAUACUUUGUCUGGAUGUUCUCCUUGUUUUGCUUUUAAUUUUGUUUUAUGCAACUUAGUAAUUGAGUUAGUGUUGUUUAGCUUAAUUGACGAUCCUUUUGUUUAUACCAUCAUAUCCCAUGAAGAUCUUGACAAAUUCGAGUCAUUUUGGUCCUUGAAUCAUUUGAAUGUUGUUUUGGAGGAUUUUCUCCUCAUUGGUUUGGUUGUUGGUACUGAUAAUUUGACCCCAAAUUGUCUCCAAUCCCAUUUCAAUAUGAUUUUUUCAGAGUUAAUGGCUUUGGGCAACAGAAAAAGACAAUCAAAUCCCAACUGUGGUGGCUCAUCUAUUGGGGGGAUUGAAAAAGAAAAAGAAUAGAUAGGGUGGUGGUUUGGAGGUCAACGAUGGUGACGCCAAAUAUGGUUAUGGAAGAGGUGGUGAUGGCGAGAUUGUUGGUAUGAAGAAGUAUAAACAUAUUGGACCAUUUAUGCAAAAAGUAAAAAUAUUGGGCCAUUUUUAAAAACACAAAAAAGGCAAGAGAAAAAAAAUAGUCACUCAACUUUGCCUCGUCCAACGUGACAAGUUAAUUGGCCAUGUCACCUGUCCCAUUAGGCUUGUAAUGGAAAAUUUUAAUGGAUGACUGAUUUGUCACUUUUCGAUAACGUUAAUAACUAAUUUGUUAAUUUUUUAAAGUUAAGUGACUAUUUUGUCAUUGAGGUCAAAGUUGAGUGACUAUUAGUAUAAUUUACUCUUUUUAUUAAACAUAUGUAUUACAAUAUUUAAAUAUAAAAUAAAGAGUAAUUAGUAGUUGAUUGAGUCUUAGUUCGAUUAACAUCGACAUUGUUGUUAGUACAAGAGGACGUGGUUUUGAGUGUGGCGCUAAAAUAUAUUAUCCUCUUAUUUAUUUAAGGGUUGGGGAGGGUCUAUGAAUAGUUUCUUCUAGUUAUUGUAUUAAAAAAAGUAAAAAGGAGAGAAAUUUAAUUUUAAAAUUAGAUAAAUGAAUAAAAAUAAUACAUUUUUAAAAUAAACAAAAAAAAUCUUCUUUUUUUUCAAAACAAAUCAUGAGAAUGACUAAAAAUUAUCAAUUAAAAUUAAUUUAUAGUUAAAAUAUUCCUACCAAAUGUAAGAAAUUAUUAAAUAAUUCAUUUUCAAUUAUUUAAUUUAAAUUACUAUUUCAAUAAUAACAUUAUUUUUCAAAUUUAAUCAUAAAAUAUAAACAAUGUAGUAAAAACAAUUACAGUAUUUUAUUAUUUUUUGAGAUAGUGAACUAAUCUUAGACUUACUUUAAUUUCACUUAGAUAAGAAAUUAAAAAAAAAGUAAUUGAACCGUCACCCAAGUCAAUUUAUCAACCUUACAAAAGUUUUAAUUUUAUAAAUAAUAAAAUUAUACGUUAAUAUAUAGUAAAAUUAUACUAAAAAGUUUUUUUUAAUUCCUUAAAAAUAAUAAAAUAAUAAAAUAAUAAAAUAAUAAAUGAUAAAAUUAUAGACUUAAAAUGAUUAAUUGAAUCAGUGUCAUGAGUCAAACCAUACUAACUCAAUUAAAAAUAGAGUAAAACAUCAUUAUAUUUAAAAACUAAUAAAUAUCAUUAUUAAAGUAUUUUAAAUUUUUUUAAAUUUUAAAUAGAAAAUAUUUAAGAAAAAUCAUAAAUCCACAAAUUAUGAAAUUUGAACUUAAGACAUAUAGAUUCAACUAGAACUUCAUUUAUCUUUUUUUAUGCAAGAAUAUCAUGAAAACACUUGUACUAGGAACUGUAUUGUAUUUUAUACCUUUAACUAGAAAAAAUGGGUACAAUAGUCUAUGUAUGUUAGAUUAAAGAAUAAAUUGAUUCUUCUAUUAAAAAUUACAUCUAUUUCUAGGGUUAAAAAUUGAUCUCUAUAUGUCAGCAUAAGAUAAAUGUGGCACAUCAUGUGUCACUUUCUGGUUAUUUUAUCAACUACGCUAGUUUUUAUUAAUACAAAUGGAUAACAUUUAAAAAAAGGGACCAAUUUGCUCUUUGAUCUACUGUACGAGACUAAUUUGUUCAUUUUUUAAGUAGAGUGGCAAAAUGCAAUCUAACUCUUAGUAUACGGGUCUCCAUGGCAAUUUUACCUAAAUCUUUUUAUAUAUAUUCUUCGAUUUAUUACGUGCGUGUGUGAUAAUCUUAUAAUAAAAAUAUAAAAGGAAAAGUGAAAAAAAUGGAUUUCCCGCUUCUUCCGCUACCCGCUUGACUAAAAAAAAAAAAACUGUCCCUCACCUCCUUUCCAACAUUUUCCUACCCUUUCAUUUCAUUUCAAUGCAAUCCCCCAACGGAAAUUCGUAACUCAUAAUCAAUUUCCAUUUGAAUUGUGCAACUCUUUUCAGACCUUUUCUUGUUCCAUUCUCAACUCUUUCCCGUCACUCUCUCCGGAUCUGUAAGCUCUCUCUCUCACUUUCAUUUUUCAUUGUUUCCAAUACGAUUAACUUGCGAAACCUAGUUUCUUUUCAUCAAUUCGUAAUUUUCUAGGGUUUUUUUAUUUUGAUUUUGCUUUUUCAUUUUCUGGACAGCUAAGUAGUCUGAUAACGAAAUGAAAACGUAUCAAGCGUUAAGCGCUUAAGGUUUAUUCUUCUUGUUAUAUGAUUUUCAAUUAUCUCAACUGAAAUGAAAUAGUUUGGCCUUUCAUUUAAUUCAUUUUUCACAUGGCAUGCAUUUCUCUGCUAGUUUUUUUUUUUUUUUGUUCUUUUCCCUUUUCCCUUUAGCCUUUAUGUUUUUUAGUAUUGUAGUAUUAUAUAGGCAUAUUCUCGCUUUACUUGCACCAUAUCGUGUUAAAGAUGAGCUACUCGUUCGACUAUGGUCGAUAAUUAAAGCUUCGUGGCUUGACUUUCUUGCUAGAUUGCGACUAAUGCUCAAGAGAUCAUUUCUCUAUCAUGAGUAUUUUGUAAUUAAGAUUUGAUUAAAUAUGUCUGCUUAUAUUGAAUGAUACAAAAAUUUAGUGUGUCUAGGAAAUUCAAUCAAUAGGAACUAUGGACGCGAAUUUCAGAUGUUGGUUUUUGUAGCAUGUUCUUGAUAGACUAUACCAGUUUUACCAUUUUCUGUUUUUUCCAACUUUUUGAAUUGCUAAAAUGUGAAAUCGGGAGAACUUAUUGUCUGUCAAGCAGUUUUGGUAUAGUUAUCUAAUUUCAAAUCUGACUGUGUAUGGGAUCUUAUUAUUGAACUUUUAUCCCCAAUGGACUGAUGGAGUUGGUCUUCUGUUGAAUUUGGCUAAGUCAUGUGCAAAAUCCCUGCAGGAACCUGCAAUGAAAUCCUUGAUUCUUGUGUCUAACAAGUACUAGAAGCAGUUAAAAGUUUAAGGGCCUUGCUUCAGCAAGUUGGAUGACAAAAUUUAUGUGCUGCUCACAUUAUGGAAAAGGACAACUCUGGUGGCAAGAAUGCAACAGUUUCUCUGAUUGAUGAAAGACUAGGGGAAAUUACUGAUGGAAUUCAGAAAGUUCAGGGGAAACCUGAGGAGACACGAAGUCUGAAUGUCAGUAAUUACAAUGUUAUUAAGUUAGACGAGGUUAAUGGACAAGACAGAUCAGGUGAUGACAGGGAUCAGAAUCAAGCCUUGGCAUCUAGAGCUGUUCAGGACAAUUUAGGUGAUAAGGAAAAACAUGUUAAAAAAUGUGACAAGAUGGAUAAGGAUAGGGAAUCAUAUUCUAAAGCACUAGAAGAAAUGUAUGAGACUGCAAAAGCAGUUCAUUUUGAUGAGCCAGAACCUGUCUUUGAUGGCACAGAGGAUCCUGGGAUGGAGUCCAAACUAAAUUCAUCAACUUGUUCCUCGGGUUUUAAUCUGGAAGAGGGAUAUAUGUGGCCUGAGAAAGCAGUGGUGCUUAAAAAUUUUGUGAAGGAGAAGGGUGCAGUGGCAGUGACCAAUGUCUUGCAUCACCUUUCUAUUAAAAGAGAUGAUGUUGAAAUGGGCACUGUUCGUGUUUAUCAGGGUGCCCCAGGUUCUUCUAAAAUCGGGGAACAAACUGCAGAAAGAUCUGCCUGGAAUCCCCUAAACUAUAUUAAGAUGUCAUGUACAGCUGAUGCAGGAUGGAAAGCUGAACAGGGGGAGGAUGACACUGAAGGAUCACUUAUUCCUGUUGUCACAAAAGGAAAAGUUUUGUUAUAUACAAGGUUAGGAUGCCAAGAUUGUAGAGAAGUUAGGUGGUUUCUGCGCAACAAAAGACUUAGAUAUGUUGAGAUCAACAUUGAUUUAUAUCCCAGUAGAAAAUUGGAGCUAGAGAAGUUAUCUGGAUCUUGUGCUGUUCCUAAGGUCUUCUUUAAUGAAGUACUGAUUGGAGGCUUGAGCGAACUCAAACACUUAGAUAUGUCUGGCAAGCUUGCAGAGAAGAUUGAUUUUUUGAUUACUGAAGCACCGUCCACUGAAGCUCCUUUAUCACCUCUUUCUGGUGAAGAUGAUGUUUCUUGUAAAGGGCCUGUUGAUGAGCUAGCUCUAAUUGUCCAAAAAAUGAAAAGAUAUAUUGUUGUUAAGGAUAGGUUCUACAAGAUGCGCAGGUUCACUAAUUGUUUUCUAGGUUCUGAAGCGGUGGAUUUCCUAUCAGAAGAUCAGUACCUGGAAAGGGAAGAGGUUAGUUUGGAUUAUUAUGUUCUCUCAGACCAUUAUAGUGAAUUUCAGGUGAUAACUGUUUGCUUCACGGAUUUGUCCUCUAUUUCUAUUAUUAUUUUUCUCCAGAGAGUGUUAGGACCCAAUAUUUCCUGAAUUAGAGCACUAUUUUAGUGGUUUCCUAUGGUGAAUGCAGAGUAAAGCCAAAGAAACAUUUUUUUGCUGCAUAUUAAAAUUUUCAUGAAGGAUGAUAUGAAAAUUUUAUUUUCUGAAAGUUCCCUUGAUGUCUUUUCUUUCCGUCCUUCCUUUCAACUUUCAAGUGGUCAGAUGAAUAACUAGAUAAUGAAUAAGUGUGUGCAUUAUAGAUGGCAAUUUUAUCUUUACUUUCAUGUCUUAAGAUAAACAGUCUCAGAAAAAUAGUUGUACAUAUUGCAAUAAUGGCUCUUCUUGUUUUCCUCGUUCUCUUGUUUAUUUGCUGUAAAUGAGUGGUUUUGGGAGAUUUUAUUUAUGGGGUUAAUAUUUGGUACUCUGGCAGUGUACUCUUUUUAUUCCAUAAGCUGCCUUAAAAAAUUGCCACGUCUUUUUUCUUAAUAUUUUACUAUAUUCCUAUAGGACACUUGUUAACCCUCUGAUCCUACUUGUGGAGUCCAAAAACUCCACUAAUAGUGUACCAAAUAUUUUCCAUUUAUUUAUUUCGUUUCUCUUAGUUUUUGACUGAUCGUAUCAGACUACUUAAGAGUUUUGAGUUGAGUUUAAAAUUCCAGAUUUUGUAUGCCUGCUCUAUUUAUACAUUCUUGGAAGUGGUUAUAUCAGCAUUAUUUCCCCCUCUCUUUUCCUUUUUAUCGUGUAACAGGCUGUUGAAUUUGGGAGAAAGCUUGCCAGUGAACUGUUCUUUCGACAUGUUCUUGAGUGAGUCUAAACCCUCCCAGUUUAUUAGAACUUCUAUUCAGCAGUUGACAAUCCUUCUCAUAAAUUUUUUUUCUUGAUGACACUUAAUAAUAGUGAGAAUCUAUUGGAGGAUAGUAACCACUUGUAUCGGUUCUUGGACCAUGAUCCUGUCGUAUCAACUCAGUGUCACAACACUCCAAGGGGUAUGAUUGAACUGAAGCCAAAGCCCAUCACUGAAAUUGCAUCAAGAUUGAGGUUUCUGUUCUGUGCCAUUUUAGAAGCCUAUGCAUCAGAAGAUGGAAGACUUGUUGAUUAUAGAAGUGUUCAUGGAAGUGAAGAGUUUGCAAGGUUUGACACCUCUUACUGUAUGAUAUUGCCCACUCUACUGUCUUCAAAAUUUUGUUUGAUUCUUUUUACUUAAUUAAGUUUUUGUUGUUAAUGGCUGAAUAAUUUUAGGUAUUUAAGAAUAAUUCAAGAGCUCCAAAGAGUAGAUGUCCAGGACAUGCCAAGGGAGGAGAAGCUUGCCUUCUUCAUAAACUUGUACAAUAUGAUGGCCAUCCAUGCAAUUUUAGUGUGGGGUCAUCCUAAUGGUUCAUUGGAAUGGAGGAAGCUGUUAGGAGACUUCAAGUAUGUUGUUGGUGGGUUCACAUACUCGCUUUCAUCUAUUCAUAAUGGCAUUUUAAGGUGCAAUCAAAGGCCACCAUUCAAUCUUUUGAAACCAUUUGGUGUCAGAGAUAAACGGUUACAGGUGAGACCAUGUUGGUAAAAUAACUAAACUAAAGCCUUGAAUGUCUCAUGUGGAAAUUGAAUUUAGGUCAUUCGGUGUUAUAUGCUUUUUAUCAGGUGGCUCUACCAUAUCCUGAGCCUCUAAUUCACUUUGCCCUUGUUUGUGGUACCCGAUCUGGGCCUGCUCUUCAAUGCUACUCUUCCAGAAAUAUUGAUAAAGAGCUGAUGGAUGCAGCUCGGGUUUUCAUAAGAUCUGGUGGACUUACUGUUGAUUUGAGUAGCAAGGUUGCAUAUGCUAGUAAGCUCCUCAAAUGGUAAGUUAAUUCAAGAGUUUUUGUUGCACAAAUUUGUAUUUCUUCCCAGAGGCCAUUACUGUUCAGCAGGUAAAUUUAGAUUUUAAUAGUUUCUACAUGCGGAGAUGCACACUCAUGGUAACACCCAUAUGCACAGAGCCACAUUAACAUACACGUUCAUGCAGUCUAAUUCAUUGGCUAAGGGAGCUUCUAAAAACUGAUGCCUUCAUUUUGACUUGUAUAAGCCUACAGGAGUUCUUAGUUGUAGAGUUAUGCAAGUCUUGGUCGCCUAAGGUUCAGAACUCAAGACAACUAGCUAAUAGCUAUAAAGCAGAGCAGUCAUUGGUUUAAAAUUGCUGCACUAACAAAUAUUAAUUUUGCAGUUGCCUUUAGUACACUGUACACCCAUGCCCAUCGGGGAAUAACAAUAAGAUAGAUUCUUUAUAGGGAUGAAAAUUAGAACCUCCCUUCAUAUGAAUAAUAAAAUACAUGAACUGAUAAAUUUCACUCAAGAGAAACAGAAUACAGGAAAGAUGCCAUGUUGUUAUGAAGUGAUAUUGUUUUGAAUAAUUAGUAAAAGUUGGAUGAUUCAAAUGCAAACCACUUUAUUGGCUAGCAAUAAAUUUUCUAUAGGUAUUAAGCUUGAAAAAUUUACUGCCUUAUAAAUUUACUUCUUCUGCGGGUAACAACUUGUGUUAUUUGCUGUUAAUAAACAGGUUUAGUGUUGAUUUUGGGCAGAAUGAGAUAGAGGUAUUGAAACAUGCCUCAAAUUACUUAGAGCCAACUAACGCAGAAGCUUUCCUGGGGAUAAUAGCUGAUUCUCAAUUGAGGAUUAUAUAUCAGCCCUAUGAUUGGGGAUUGAACUGUUACAGUUAGAAAAAAUUUCCCCUUUUCUAUACAUCUCAUAUACUUAAUCAUAAGGGUUCCCCUUUCGUAUAAAAUUUUCACCAGGGUUAAAACUUGUAGAUUCAUUGUUUUAGAAGAUAUCACACCAGUCAGGCUUCAGUUUUAUUUUUUCAUUUUUUGUACUUCUAGAAAGUAAGUUCAACAAAGUAAUUGUUUAAUCUUCUCUUUUAGAUUCAUAGUUUGGUUAAUCUACAUAUAUUUAUUGAAAUGUGUUAUACAAAAAUAAUACAUGGGGUUGGGAUGAAAGUUUGUCUUGUUCUUUUCCCUGAUAAGUUUGGGGGAGCCUGUAACUGAAUAUCAUUGUGCCAUUGGCUACCUUCGGGAGGUUUAGGGUCUAUGACAUGUGUCAGUUAGGAACGUGAGUGUUGUGGCCGUUAAGGUUGUUAGGCGGUAAAGUCUGUUACUUGUUUUAAAAACUGUUACUCCAAUUACUGCAGGAGGGAAGAUCCAUUGUAAGAUAUGCAUGAAUAUAGCACAGGUUUUGCUUCAAAGGUUCUUUUUGUUUCUUAAAUCAAACAUGCCAUUAUCUGUUAUUUUUGGGUACCCAGCAGUUAUCUGUAAUUGCUUGCAAACACUAAAUUCAACAUAAAUUGCUUCGAUGAAUUCAACCGUACUACUAAUGCUAUCUUUGAUAGAUUUCAUUCGUAAUUUUUAACCACUAACUUGAUUUGUUUGUGGUUAAAAAAAAAAAAAUUUAUUUUUAUUUUCUAUUUUAAAAAGUUCUAAUUUCAAGUUUGAGUUAGUAUUAAUUAUUUUUUAUUUUAUGUAUAAAUAUUAAAUAAUUUUUUCUCAUUAUUAUACUAGUAACCAAAAAUAACAUAAAUAUUUUUAUUAGUAAUUAAAUAUUUAAUUUAAAAUUAUUAAUAAUUUAAAUUAUCUGGAAGUUUUUGAUUUUUUUUCUCAACUCUGAUUAUUAAUUAUGUAUCAAGUUACAUUUUAAGGUAGUGAUGAGCAGUAGGAGUCAUACAUCUUAGUAGCACUUGGUGUUUUUUUUUAUAUUAUGAUUUUAAUAGAAUGUGAUUUUAAAAAUGUUACUUUACAACUUUUGGUAUAAGAAAGUUAUAUUAUCACGUUUGAUUCAUUAAAUAUUUUUUUUAGAAAUGUAAUAAUAAUUUACGAAUUUAUCUUUAUUAAAUAAAAUAAAAUAUUCAUGUAUUUAAUUUUUGUUGACACCAUUUUUUUGACAAAACGGGGUCGACUUGGGUUUUGAAAAAUGAAAACGAAAACGGGAGUCGCCACCAAUCCUUUUUGAUAAGGUGUGAUCGGGUCACCUUGAAAAGUGGUUGUUUUUAAUAAAUGAUUUGAUUUUAUUAAAACAACAAGUUUGGUCACGAAAUUCAGAAAAAUGAGUUCGGGAGUCGGUUACGCAUGAGGAAGGAUUAGCACCCUUGAUACGCCCAAAAUUGGUACCUCGUUGAUUACUUAAUGUCUUGGUGUUGAAAAUUGAGAACUUUAAAGAAAUUGAAAAUACGAUCCUAGAAAACACUUGAAUAACAUGGAUUAAGGUUUAAGAGGAUAUUUGGCUAUUUGGUCAAACGAGAAAUCAAAACCCAGCACAUUAGGGCACAUUUUCUUGAAUUUCCAAACGCAAAACAUUGCCUUACUUCGAAAUUUUAAAAGGAUAUUUGACAAUUUGAUAGAACGAAAAAAAACGAAACCCAGCACAUUAGGGCACGUUUUCUCGAAUCUCCAAACGCAAAACAUUGCCUUUAUUAUUUUUUAGAAAAAAAAAUCCUCGUCUCGAGAAAACGACAUGUCAUAUCCAAUGCGUUAAGACACAACGUCUCGAAUUCCCGAUACGAGAAUACAUGCCAAAAAAUUUAAUUAUUUAAAAAGACAUUUAAUUAUCUCGGGUUUAGAAAAGAGAUCAUGCCCAGUGAGUUAGGACACGAUCUUUUCUUAAUUCCCGGGAUCGUUUAAAAACUUGAGUUUGAAAAGAUUCGGCAUUUAGAUUUAUUGCGAAAAUCGAAACCCAGUAAGUUAGGGUACGACUUUAUCAAAUCUAAACACGAAAUUUUGUUUAUUAAAAAAGUCAUAAUUUAUGCAUUGAACGAAGACAAUUUAACGCAAAAUAGUAAAAAAAAACACGAUGUUAAUAUCAUGAAUUCGGUAAUGUAAGUACGAAUAAUACUAACGAUCAUCAAAAAUGAAAUAAAUAAAUAUAAAAGACAAGUCAAUCAUGUAUACACAAUAAUUAAUAAAUAAACAAAUAAAAACUAAAGCAUCAAAAUAGACAUGUAAAUAAAUAAAGCAAGAAAAUAAAAAAGAUAUAUAUAUGUAUUCGUGAAAGAAAAAAAUGUAUAUGGAUAUAUAUAUAGAUAUGUAGAUAAAUUAUAAAAUAUAAAAAAAUAUGAGUAUGUAUGUAUAUAUUAAAUGAAUUAUAAAAAUAUGUACAUGCAUAAUGCAUAUAUGUAUUUAUAUAGAAUAAAAAUAAAGUUAGAAAAUAAUAUAAAACUAAUUAAUAUAUUAAUAUAAUAGUAACAAAUAAAUAAAAGGAAAAUAAAACUAAUAAUAAUUAAUAAUGAUAAUAAUAGUAAUAAUAAUAAUAGUAAUAAUAAAUGAUAAUACAUUAAAAUAAUUAACAAAAUAAUAAGAUUGCUAAAACACGGACUAAAUUGAUAUAAAAAUGAAAAAACGGGGCGAAAUCGAAAUAAAGAAGACAAGAGGGACCAAAUUGUAACGUGCGCUGAAAGAUGGGGGACCAAUAGGGUAAAUAAAACAAAGCCCCAAAACGCUGCGUUGUAGUGGACCAAAUCAAGAUAAAAAUGAAAUUUUGUGGCCAAAUCAAAAAAUAAAAGAAAAUAGUGAAAAAGGGCCAAAUUGCAACAUGCUGCAAAAUAGGAGGGACUGCGCGAGCAAAUAACCCGCCCGCACAAAAACACGCGGACCCUGGGUCGCGGGUCGGGUCGACGCGCGGGUUAAAGGGCUAAACGACGCCGUUUUGGCUAUUGGUGCUGAAACUCAAAACGACGCCGUUUCAUGGACCCUAUUUAAGUCAAAUUUUUUUAAAAAAUUUUCAUUCUUCAUCCAUUCAUUUAAAAAAAUUCUCUAAACUCUCUCUAGCCCCCCCUCCCUCUGAUCUUGGCUCCGUCCAAUGGCCACCGUGCCGGACUCCGGUCGCCGGCGUCGGCGCCGCCGCGCACGAUGGUUGGCGAAGGCAAAAAAGCUUAUUUUCUAGAUCUCGACCCCCUGAGCCCGGAUCUAGCCUCAAAACAACCGAAAACAAAGGGGAAAAGGCCGUUGUGCCUCUCUUCAACUGGUUCCGUCACCGAAGAAGGAGUCUCCGAUGGCGAGAAGACGGAGCCGACUCCCGGUGAGUUCCUUUUUCCGUUUUCUUAUUUUUUUAUGUAAAAGAUAAAAUAAAAUAAGUAAAAUAAAAUAAACAAGCAGAAACGCAAAUAUGAAAAAAAAAAGAAAAAGUCACCUUCAAAAAUCUAUUUUGUUUUCUUAUUUUCCUUAAUGUUCAUAGCCAAAAUGAAAGAAGAGAAAACUCUUCUUCUUUUACAGUAAACUUGGCUCUUGCCGAAAAGGAAAAAGAAAAAUAAAAAAAAAUCCCCCCAUUUGAAAUCCCUUUGCUUGGGCUUUAUAACCAAAAGAAAAAUCUUUUCUGCUCCUCUGUUGUCUGUUUCUUUGCCUUUGUGGUCAUUUCUUCCUUUUUCUUGCAGGUUUGGCCAGCUGGAGACGUUGACGAGGGCGGAGUUCACGGCUUUUUGCCGUUUUGGUGCAAGCCUGCCAGGCUUUGGGCGGUGUGCGCGCCGAUGGCGCACAUGGGUAGCAGCAGGGGAGCGGCAGCCUAGGAUACCCUGGAGGCUAGGGUUUCCCAAAAAUUUUUAAGGUUUUUGGGCUUAUCGGGCUCUAAGGUAGUGGGUUUAGGUCUGCUGGGCUUGUAUUUGGGUUUAAUUUAGUUUGUUGGGCUGGGGCAAAUUUGGGCUUUGUACAGCUGCCCCUCUUUGCUCGUUGUCGUGUAACGAGAACAGAGCAAAGACCAAGAAAGACCAAAUUUGCCUGGUCUUGCCAAGUCUUGACUUCUUUUUGACACUUCCCUUCUUCAAAUAACUUCGUUCCAGUCCACUAUGUCUUGUUGCUUCGAUCCACUCCACUGCACUUCAGAGAGUUUUAACUUGUAGCUUUCAUCUUCUUUGCAGCAACUUCAGGGGGACGAUGUUUGUGUUUUUUCUGUCUGCUCCGCUACUGCUUAGGGAGAUAGGAUCUAAUAUCUUUGACCUGCUCCACUACUGCUUAGGGAGAUAGGAUCUAACAUCUUUGACCUGCUCCACUACUGCUUAGGGAGAUAGGACUGGUGGCUUAAAUCUACUUCACUACUACUUAGGAAGAUAAGAUUCGCCGUCUUUGAUCUGCUCCACUACUGCUUAGGGAGAUAGGAUCUAAUAUCUUUGACCUGCUCCACUACUGCUUAGGGAGAUAUGACUGGUGGCUUAAAUCUGCUUCACUGCUGCUUAGGAAGAUGAGAUUCGCCGUCUUCGAUCUGCUCCACUACUGCUUAGGGAGAUAGGAUCUAAUAUCUUUGACCUGCUCCACUACUGCUUAGGGAGAUAGGAUCUAACAUCUUUGACCUGCUCCACUACUGCUUAGGGAGAUAGGACUGGUGGCUUAAAUCUGCUUCACUACUGCUUAGGAAGAUAAGAUUUGCCGUCUUUGAUCUGCUCCACUACUGCUUAGGGAGAUAAGAUCUACCAUUUUAAUCUGCUCCACUGCAACUUUAGGGAGAUAGGAUUGGUUUCUUCUGUCUGCUCCACUACUUCUUAGGGAGAUAAGACUUGGUGCGAUCUGCUCCACUACUGCUUAGGGAGAUAGGAUCUACCAUAUUUGACCUGCUCCACUACUGCUUAGGGAGAUAGGACUGGUGGCUUAAAUCUGCUUCACUACUGCUUAGGAAGAUGAGAUUUGCCAUUUUCGAUCUGCUCCACUACUGCUUAGGGAGAUAAGAUCUACCAUCUUCGACCUGCUCCACUGUAACCUCAGGGAGAUAAGACCUGAAAUUCUUUGGUUUACUCCACUGUAACCUUAGGGAGAUAAGAUUUGUUGCGAUCUACUCUACUGUAACUUCAGAGAGAUGAGAUCCUUUAUUUUAAUCCGCUCCACUGUAACUUCAGGGAGAUAGGAUUACUAGCUCCAAUCUGCUCCACUGUAACCUCAGGGAGAUAAGAUCUGAAAUUCUUCGGUCCACUCCACUGUAACCUCAGGGAGAUAAGACUUGCAUAUUCAACCAGCCCCACUGUAACUUCAGGGAGAUAAGGUUUGUGGCUUCGAUCUGCUCCUCUGUAAUCUCAGGAAGAUAAGAUCUCUAGCUUCAAUCUGCUCCACUGUAACCUCAAGGAGAUAAGAAUUGAAAUUCUUCGGUCUACUCCACUGUAAUCUCAAGGAGAUAAGACCUAAAAUUCUUCGGUCUACUCCACUGUAACCUCAGGGAGAUAAGACUUGCAUAUUCAACCUGCCCCACUGUAACUUCAGGGAAAUAAGGUUCGUGGCUUCGAUCUGCUCCUCUGUAAUCUCAGGGAGAUAAGAUCUGAAAUUCUUCGGUCUACUCCACUGUAAUCUCAGGGAGAUAAGACUUGCAUAUUCAACCUGCCCCACUGUAACUUCAGAGAGAUAAGGUUUGUGGCUUCGAUCUGCUCUUCUGUAACUUCAGAGAGAUAGGAUCCUUUAUUUUAAUCCGCUCCACUAUAACUUCAGGGAGAUAGGAUAGUGUCUUCGAUCUGCUCCGCUGUAAUCUCAGGGAGAUAAAAUCUCUGACUCUUUGAUCUGCUUCGCUAUCGAUGCAGGAAGACAAGAUCUAUCAUAUUUGCUGAUCCGUUCACUGGGGAACAUGACCUGUAUAAUAAACCUAAUUAUGCCUAAUGAUUAGGAUGGCAUGAUCAAAAUGAAUCAAAUGCUCCUAACUAGACAUGUGUGAAUGGUGUUUGCAUGAAUGCAAAAUUUUAUUUUUCCGAGAAUGAUCUCGCUUAGGUUGUCAUUACUCGAAGUUUAUUAAGGCUUUGUGACUGACGUGCUACAACACCUUCUCGCUUGACUGGUUUUUCUGAAGAAACAUUUGGCCAGGUUGCCCCCACUGUAAACCUCAAAGUUCAAUCCAUUGGGACGCCAAAAUUUGUACCAUCAUUCUCCCACUACAAUCCAAGGGUAGAAAUAUGUGACUUUUCCUCAAUCUUCUCCUAUCACAAUUCAAGGAUACAGGACGCGAAUCGUUCUAGUUCCUCACACCAUUCCCAAGGUGUCAUACUCAUGUGCAAAUGAAGGAUCUCUUCUCCGAGGUAACCUCUUACUAUUGCCUGAUAAUCAUUGCUUGCUUGUUUAUUUAAGCUUUGCCACCAACAUGGCGCCUUGUCAAUCAACGUAUUUGAAAACAAAAAUCCAAAGAAAAAGUCUAAAUUUAGACUAUUCCUUCUCAAAUUUCCAGCCUUUAAAAUUGGUGUGUUCUAAACAAUAGUCCUACUUUAGGCUCCUAUAUUAUUUAGAAACUUUUCAGAGUAAUAAGCAAAAUUUCCUUUGUAAAAGUUUUAUUAGUCCAUUAAUCAUUAUUCCAAUGCAACAUGCUCGUAAGAAGGGUCAUAACAAUGGAUAAGAAUAAAGUUGGUUCUGAGCAUAGCUCGAAAGAACAAGUUAUCCAAAAAUAGUAAAGAAGGAUGACAAAGAAAUUGGUUGGGAAUGUAUAUCUUGGAAAAGAAUAAAAGGUAUUCCGAGAACAACAAAUAAUAUGAGAAUUGGGUGCCUUAGAUAUCGCAGCUUGAACUUUUCUGUACAAACUUUCUGAAGACCAUUUUAAGUUUAACAUGUGUUUAGGAGAUUUACAGUGCUUUGUCGACGCCCCAAGAUGUCGCUUAUCCCUUCAUGUUGAUUCAAGUAUAGCAAGAUCACCACAUGCCCCCAAUUUGAUCAAAAUUUGAAUUGCUCUGAUCACCUCAUGCCCCAUUCUGAUCAAUAUUUGACCCGCCCUUUUUGGGUUUUCAACUCAAAUCCCCUUUGGCCUAAGACGCCCUUUCCGGGUUUUCCCCUUAGCCUCUCCAAUUUUCAAUUUUCAUUUUCUUUUUUCAAUUUUCAUUCUUAUUUUUCAUUUUUUCAGAGUGCCCUUUGCGGGUUUUCACCUUGGUCCUUUCUUCUUCUUUAAAUGAAGUAUUUCUUGACUGGAUCCGAGUUUAUAGGACUAGCGAUCUCACUAAGGAUCAGUGCUCUUCUGAAAAAUGUCUUGUUUACAACGUAGGGACAUUCUCGAUUUGGCAUUCAUUUCCCUCUAGAAUCCUUUUGGAGAGGAAUGAUCUUUUUCGACAUCCAACCCUCUCGUGGAAUUCUUUGAGAUGACACUGUUCAUUACGGGCUCGUAUCAUUUGUUUCUGGUACAUCCGACCCUGAAGAAUAGCUUUUAACCUUUUUUUUAGGUUCAACUGAUCGCAUCACGAUUGGAUCCAUUCUGCUUCAUCCAAUUCUAACUCAACUAAUACCCGGAGAGCAAAGAUUUCAAUAGGUAAAACUACCUAAACCCCGCAAACCAAAGAGAAAGGUAUUGCCCCGGUACAAAUGUUCGACAAGCAAUGAAGGUAAAUAGUAAUUUCUCAUGCCAAUCAUUGUAAGUCUCAGUCAUUUUCCUUCAAUUUUCGACGUUCAACUCUAGGCAAUUUAGUGACGAAUCGUGGUGUCCACUUCUGAGUUAAUUUGAGACCUCAGUGAUCGUGCCAUUGUUUAAGCUCAAUGCAUUCUCCAAUACCCUCUUCUCUAAAAAUCUGUAUCGGUAUACGAUGACUUUGGCUCAUGAAGUAGCCUCUCAAAAUGAAGCAAUGCCCAUUAGAAGUCUUCGAUAAUGGUGAAGUCCAUGCCUCAUUGUGCUCGAAAUUUGAGUCGCCCCUUUUCGGGUUGUCAACUCAAAACCUCAUUUGGUCACAAAGCGCCCUUUGCGAGUUUUCGCUUUGGCCUCUCCUUUUAUUUUUCUUUUUCUUUUUCAUUCUGAUUUUUUCAUCUAGAUUUCUCUUUUUUCAUUCUUCUUUCUUUUUUCAGUUUCAUUUUCAUUUUGAUCUUGAUUUUGAUUUUUUUCUUCUUUCUUCUUUUUUUAUUUUGAUUUUUAAUUUUUUUCCUUUUCAUUUUUAUUUUGACUUUGAUUUUGAUUUUUCUUUUUCUUCACUUUUUGAUCUGAGCCUUUAGGGGUGCAACUACGACAGAAAACUUUGGAUCUUCCUCUUUAAUCAGGAUGGACCCAACAACAACUUGAAGAGGUAAAAAUUCGACUUCAAAUGGACAAAGCUAUGCUGACUCCACGAGAAAGGCAUUGCCCCGGCAAAGAAUUGCAUCGUUCAUACUGUAAAUUUCUAACAUUGUGCUAUUGCACAGAUUUCAUUAUUGGCGUUUAACCCGGGGCAUAUCCUGGUAUGAUCAUACGAAGACAUCUUUGAACCUUGAGGUCACUUAAUAAGGUGUUGCUUCGUCUCUGCGGUCAGGUCAAUUCUAAACUUUACCACGCUCACAAUUUCUAAUGAUUUUUUGUGAGGUAGGAUCUGUCUGUCCUCUUAUUCAACCGUCCUUAACAAGUCAGGAGAUAAACUACAAUCUUUGUCAUUUUCAAAGCCCUGAGAUCCCUCUGAACACAUGCCUCGCUCAAAAGAAAAAUCUGGGUCUGUAGCAGAGUCAUUCACGUCAUUGAUAUCCAGGGACUCAUAAUAAGUACCAAAGAAUAUACAAAAGAAAGUAUAAAUUUAUGAAUAAUUAUUUAUACAAUAUGAUUGUGAAUGAAUGAUGUGGAAGAAAAUCUAAAAGAAUGAAAUAAUCAGAAAUAAUUAUUCAAAAAGAAUGAAAGAAUAUUUGCUCAAAAAGGAAUGCAAAUAUGUAUUUUAUUAGAAUGAGCCUAUUUCACAAAAAAGUUCUUAUUGCCUCUAGGCUAAAAGCAACAAGUGUGUUCUGGAUAUUACUCUGAGUAAGCUCUAAAUACUACAAGGGUCUCUUCUGCAGUCUAAUUAUUCAGAACACUCUCAAGUUUAGAAGGGCGAACAUCUAAUAAGAUCUCUUCUCUAUUUGUUUCUUCAGAUUCGACACUGAUGUGAACAUUUCCCAACAUUUCUUCAUUCAUCGCAUUCCCUUCAUUAUCCGUAUAAUUGAGCAGCGGGUUUUUUGUACUGAUUGAAUCAUCAAAUUUGACAAUGCCCAUAUUGAUAAACCUUUCGACCAACUUUUUAAAGGCAGUGCAGUUCUCUAUUGAAUGCCCCGUAAUUCCCGCAUGGUAGUUGCAUUGUGCAUUCAUAUCGUACCAUUUGGGAUAAGGAGGUUGUAAAGGGGUCAAGUAACGAGGAGCAACAACAUGCGCAUCGAACAAGCUUUGAUACAGCUCCUUAUAUGACAUCGGAAUUUGUGUGAACUGGAGCUUCUCAGUACCUGGUUUCAUUCCAGGUUCUUGCUUUAAAGGGCUCCGAUGGCUGGUGGUCUCCGUCUUUGGCCUGCCCACAGUGAUUGGUUUUGAGUGGCCCUUGUUAUAUCCGCCUACAUUAUCCCUUUUAUUCCCCUUCUUCCUUGGGGACUUUGUAGUAUCUGGGUACUCUACCCUCAUCUGCUUUAUUUCGGCUAGAUUAGCAACAGGAUUAGCUAAAUCGUUCCUCAAAUUGGGUCUUAAACCUGUCAAGCAAUUCACUGGUGUCAAUGUACCAGUCUGAUAAUAUCGGGAUCCGAUAGUAAAAAGUGCUCUUUGUGGGCGCCCAUCUGGCUGGACCUGGACACUUGUUGGAGUACAAUCCGAGGAAUAGACAAGAUCCUCAUUAUCAACCCCAAAAUAAACCACCGGGUCUUUCACUUCUUUUGACUUUCCAGCUAGCAAUCGGUUGAACUGGUUUAUCAUAGUUCUCCGUAAUUCUAGCAUCUGAUCUUUCAUCUCCUGUUGAAAUUCAGUCAAUUGCCCCUACAUCUGAAUCUGCAUUCGCUCUAAUUUUUCCAACCUUCGUUCCAUUUCUCUAGCCUUUGCUUGGAUAUCGUAAGAGUGUUUAGUUGGUUGGUUUUCUAGGUUAGCUGAAAUAAAUUUACUCGUUCAGACUCUUUCAAUGGAUUUUAAUGUAUGUAAUGCAAUGUGAUGCAAAUGCAUGAAUGCCUAAAGAGACGUUGAUUCUGAUUCAAUUACAUUUAGGAAACUUUUCUAGAAAGCAAAUUCCCUUACAUAAAAUGGAUACAUGUACGACCUCAUCUUCAUAUUCUAAGAAACAACAUUGGUCUUUUUCUUCAUCCGCAUGUUUGAAGUAAUCUCGCCAAUAGAUACCAUUGCUAGCUCCUUCUUUUGAUCUUGGUCACGAUCCAUCAUCUGCCCCUCUUCAUAAGGCUCGUCAGCUUCUUGGAACGUCGAAGGCUCUUAGACAAUCUCCUUGAAUCCUCAGGCCACGAAGCAGGAUCACGAACUCUUCCAUCACCCUUUUUGCGUUCCUCAAAAUAUAUUCGAGAAGUCGUAUUAUUUUCUACUUUAUUAAGGAAUUCGUAUUCCAUGACAAGCUUUCUAAUUUAGUAAUCGAGCUUGAAUCCAUAUCUCUUUCCUAAGAUGCAAAUGCAAUGCAAUGCAAUCAUAAUCAAAACACAAUAAGAGGGGUUAGUGCAAAACAUAAGCAAGCACAGAAAACAAAAAGUACCUAAUCAGGUAGAUACUAGGGGUUUGGAGUGGCUCUACCUAGGUUAAAUUCCUAAGUCUACUAUAUGAGGGUUGGUUCUAAAGUCAAGGUACCCGAACCAGCAGAUUCCUCGAUCUUCACCCAUUAUAGGCUCAUACAGACCAAGUUCAGUUCAGGGGAAUACAUUUCCCUAUGGAUGCACGGAGAUGAAAAUCUCACGAAGACAUAGGUACGGAUGUAUCCCAGAAGUGAUCCACUAUCCUGCACGGAGGUGAAAACCUCACGAAGGACUAGUUUCUCACUCCCACUUAAAAGGGAAUAAUCGAGCGAUUAUGUAAUGCAAUAUGCAGAAAUAUAUCAAAAUUCAAACCAAUAGAGCAAAUACAAACUGAAGUAAGGAUAAUCGUAACAAAAACGGACAAACAUACAACAAAAUGACCGUAGAUUUGAACCAAGCUUUCGGGUGACCUCUAGGCAUUCGGUGUGGUUCUACCUAGGGUAGGCUCUUAAGGUUCAUUAUAUGCAGCUCGGUUCUAAAGUAAGGGUACCUGAACCAACAGAUUCCUCGAUCCUCACCCAUUAUAGGCUCAUACGGAUUGAGUUCGGUUCAGGGGAAUACAUUUCCCUAUGGCCAUGCGGAGAUGAAAAUCUCACGAAGACAUAGGUACGGAUGUAUCCCGGAAGCGAUUCACUAUCCCAUGCGGAGGUGAAAACCUCACGAAGGCGUAGUUUCUCACUCCCACUUAAAAGGGUGUGACCAACGGUCAUGCAAUGCAAUGUGCAGAAAUAUACAUCUAAAUACAGUAAUUAUAAACAAAAUGAUAUUGACUGAAAUAAAGACGAAUGAAAUGCAACACAAGGAUCGUGAAAAGUUUUCAAUCUUUGAUAAAAGACAAAAAGUAAUCAACACAUGGCUUGACUCUCGUAUUUGUCCCCAGUGGAGUCGCCAAGCUGUUGACACCAUUUUUUUAACAAAACGGGGUCGACUUGGGUUUUGAAAAAUUAAAACGAAAACGGGAGUCGCCACCAAUCCUUUUUGAUAAGGUGUGAUCGGGUCACCUUGAAAAGUUGUUUUUAAUAAAUGAUUUGAUUUUAUUAAAACAACAAGUUUGGUCUACGAAAUUCAGAAAAAUGAGUUCGGGAGUCGGUUACGCACAAGGAAGGAUUAGCACCCUCGAUACGCCCAAAAUUGGUACCUCGUUGAUUACUUAAUGUCUUGGUGUCGAAAAUUGAGAACUUUAAAGAAAUUGAAAAUACGAUCCUAGAAAACACUUGAAUAACAUGGAUUAAGGUUUAAGAGGAUAUUUGGCUAUUUGGUCAAACGAGAAAUCGAAACUCAGCACAUUAGGGCACAUUUUCUUGAAUUUCCAAACGCAAAACAUUGCCUUACUUCGAAAUUUUAAAAGGAUAUUUGACAAUUUGAUAGAAUGAAAAAAACGAAACCCAGCACAUUAGGGCACGUUUUCUCGAAUCUCCAAACGCAAAACAUUGCCUUUAUUAUUUUUUAGAAAAAAAAAUCCUCGUCUCGAGAAAACGACAUGUCAUAUCCAAUGCGUUAGGACACAAUGUCUCGAAUUCCCGAUACGAGAAUACAUGCCAAAAAAUUUAAUUAUUUCAAAAGACAUUUAAUUAUCUCGGGUUUAGAAAAGAGAUCAUGCCCAGUGAGUUAGGACACGAUCUUUUCUUAAUUCCCGGGAUCGUUUAAAAACUUGAGUUUGAAAAGAUUCGGCAUUUAGAUUUAUUUCAAAAAUCGAAACCCAGUAAGUUAGGGUACGACUUUAUCAAAUCUAAACACGAAAUUUUGUUUAUUCAAAAAGUCAUAAUUUAUGCAUUGAACGAAGACAAUUUAACGCAAAAUAGUAAAAAAAAAACACGAUGUUAAUAUCAUGAAUUCAGUAAUGUAAGUACGAAUAAUACUAACGAUCAUCAAAAAUGAAAUAAAUAAAUAUAAAAGACAAGUCAAUCAUGUAUACACAAUAAUUAAUAAAUAAACAAAUAAAAACUAAAGCAUCAAAAUAGACAUGUAAAUAAAUAAAUAAAGCAAGAAAAUAAAAAAGAUAUAUAUAUGUAUUCGUGAAAGAAAAAAAUGUAUAUGGAUAUAUAUAUAGAUAUGUAGAUAAAUUAUAAAAUAUAAAAAAUAUGAGUAUGUAUGUAUAUAUUAAAUGAAUUAUAAAAAUAUGUACAUGCAUAAUGCAUAUAUGUAUUUAUUAGAAUAAAAAUAAAGUUAGAAAAUAAUAUAAAACUAAUUAAUAUAUUAAUAUAAUAGUAACAAAUAAAUAAAAGGAAAAUAAAACUAAUAAUAAUUAAUAAUGAUAAUAAUAGUAAUAAUAAUAAUAAUAAUAGUAAUAAUAAAUGAUAAUACAUUAAAAUAAUUAACAAAAUAAUAAGAUUGCUAAAACACGGACUAAAUUGAUAUAAAAAUGAAAAAACGGGGCGAAAUCGAAAUAAAGAAGACAAGAGGGACCAAAUUGUAACGCGCGCUGAAAGAUGGGGGAACAAUAGGGUAAAUAAACCAAAGCCCCAAAACGCUGCGUUGUAGUGGACCAAAUCGAGAUAAAAAUGAAAUUUUGUGGCCAAAUCAAAAAAUAAAAGAAAAAAGUGAAAAAGGGCCAAAUUGCAACAUGCCGCAAAAUAGGAGGGACUGCGCGAGCAAAUAACCCGCCCGCACAAAAACACGCGGACCUUGGGUCGCGGGUCGGGUCGACGCGCAGGUUAAAUGGUUAAACGACGCCGUUUCAUGGACCCUAUUUAAGUCAAAUUUUUUUAAAAAUUUUUCAUUCUUCAUCCAUUCAUUUAAAAAAAUUCUCUAAACUCUCUCUAGCCCCCCCUCCCUCUGAUCUUGGCUCCGGCCAAUGGCCACCGUGCCGGACUCCGGUCGCCGGCGUCGGCGUCGCCGCGCACGGUGGUUGGCGAAGGUAAAAAAGCUUAUUUUCUAGAUCUCGACCCCCUGAGCCCGGAUCUAGCCUCAAAACAACCGAAAACAAAGGGGAAAAGGCCGUUGUGCCUCUCUUCAACCGGUUCCGUCACCGAAGAAGGAGUCUCCGAUGGUGAGAAGACGGAGCGACUCCCAGUGAGUUCCUUUUUCCGUUUUCUUAUUUUUUUAUGUAAAAGAUAAAAUAAAAUAAGUAAAAUAAAAUAAACAAGCAGAAACGCAAAUAUGAAAAAAAAAAGAAAAAGUCACCUUCAAAAAUCUAUUUUGUUUUCUUAUUUUCCUUAAUGUUCAUAGCCAAAAUGAAAGAAGAGAAAACUCUUCUUCUUUUACAGUAAACUUGGCUCUUGCCGAAAAGGAAAAAGAAAAAUCAAAGAAAAAUCCCCCCCUUUGAAAUCCCUUUGCUUGGGCUUUAUAACCAAAAGAAAAAUCUUUUCUGCUCCUCUGUUGUCUGUUUCUUUGCCUUUGUGGUCAUUUCUUCCUUUUUCUUGCAGGUUUGGCCAGCUGGAGACGUUGACGAGGGCGGAGUUCACGGCUUUUUGCCGUUUUGGUGCAAGCCUGCCAGGCUUUGGGCGGUGUGCGCGCCGAUGGCGCACAUGGGUAGCAGCAGGGGAGCGGCAGCCUAGGAUACCCUGGAGGCUAGGGUUUCCCAAAAAUUUUUAAGGUUUUUGGGCUUAUCGGGCUCUAAGGUAGUGGGUUUAGGUCUGCUAGGCCUGUAUUUGGGUUUAAUUUAGUUUGUUGGGCUGGGGCAAAUUUGGGCUUUGUACAAUUUUUAUAAUAAAUUUUAUUCUUAACAAUAUUUAGAUUCAGUAUUUAAUAAUAAAAUUUAAUUAAUAGUUUUUAAAUUAUUUUAUAAUUUUUAAUUUUAAUUGAAAAUAAAAUUGUUUCAAAUUUGUCUUGCAUAUAUUUUUUAAAGAUAAUAAGGAAAAAUAUUUGGUACACUUUCAAAUGAAGUUUUUAGGCUCCACACGUAAGGUUAAGGGGUUGACAAGUGUCUAUAGAGGUAUAGUAGAAUAUAAAAAAAAUAAAUAUUUAAAAAAAAAAGACUCAUAUUAAUUUUUUUAAGAUUACUUAUGGAAUAAAAAAAUUUACUAUAAGCGCACCAAAUAUUUACCCAUAUAAUAAUGCAUAUAUAUAAAAUAAGUAUAUAUAAACUUGUUUUGAAAUAAAUCAAUGAGCUAAACCAAAACCUUAAUUUUUUUCCCUAUUGCUUGUAAAUAUUCAUAAAGAUUAUAAUAAAAUUGAAUUUUUAAUUAAUAUACCGAAAAGAAAAUAGAGAAAAGAAAAUAAAUAUAAUAUGCAUAUAAAAAGUAAAAUUAAGGAAAAAAACUAAAUAAAACCAAGUAGGGAGGAGACAAUAGUUUGUUUGUUUCAUUUUUUUUUUUUGGUUUAUUAAUAGGCUAAUACUUUAAACCAAUAUAAAAUAUGGUUAAUUGUGUCUUAUUAAUAACUUCCUCAUCUUUUAUUAUGAGAAUCAGAUUACCUGAAAGUAAUUUCCAAGAAAAAAAGUUAAUUUUCAAAAAAAAAAAAAUUUGACAUAACAAAUAUUAAUACUUUUGUAACUGAUAUUUAUAUCAUACCAAAUGCUUUUGAAUAUUUUAUUUUCAAAGGAGUGAUGUAUUAUAUUUGUACUAGGGUUGCUUAUUUGACUUUGUUUUCUCAAAAUUCUUGUAUUGGUCAUAUUUCUCUUGUAAUCCUCCCAAUUCUCGUUAGCUUUCUCAAUGUUAGACAUGUUACGUUUCUAUUAGAUUGCACUACAAUAUUAUUAGCUUUGAUUUUUAAAUAUUUUUAUUUUUAAAUAUAAAAAUUUAAAUUUGCAAAUAUUACUUUCAUCAUAUUUAUCUUUUUUCAAGUGUUACAAACUCAAAAAUAAAAUUUCUAAACUACUUAUGUAUUAUACAAAUUUUUUUUUAGUAUUCGCAAAUACUUUAAAAAAUAUUUCUAAGUCAAAAUACUACAGUUUCAAAAAAGUCUCGAGACAUAGUGUAAUAUGUCUUGAAACAUAAAAUACUUUAGGGGAGCAAAGUCUCAAGAUAAUUUUAGAAAAGUCUCGAUUUGUCUCGAGACAUAAAAUACUGAAGCUAAAGUUUUGCUUCAAGGGUGAAAUGUCUCGAGGCAAAACUCUCCAAGUCUUGAGACAUAUUAUGAUGUCUCGAGGUAAAAAUAUGAUCGUGAGAGCACUCUCUUACGUCUCGAGACAUAGACUUGCAGAUUGCAUUAAAUGCGCGAAUUCAAUGCUUUCAACGGUUAGAAAUUCCCUUCAACGAUUCCAAACAUCAAAAAAUUAAUGGGAGGAUAUAAAUAUAACCCAAGAAUGCUCAAAAGAAGAUAGGAAACAAUCUUAUCAAGAUCAAGAAAAAAAAAUUAAUCAUUUCACCUUGUUCUCAUUUUCACAUGUAAACAACCUUGUUGUUUUGUAAUCGGAAGAGUUUUAUCAUUGCAUAUCUAUCUUUUAGAGGUGCUUAUUCAUUCUCAAUUGUAUUUCUCAAAGUUGUGUGAGAUUACUUAAGGUUUUUGGUAGAAAAUCUUAAGGAAAGUAACUCUAUCUUGCCUAAUGUUGUAAAGGUUAAACCUUAUCCUUCAAAAGUUUCAAAUUAGUUAAUUUGAGAAAUUCUUAAUGAUAAUUAGUUAAGAUAGUAGAAGUAGGUAAUUGAAGUCGAACCACUCUAAAUAUUUUAUGUCAAUUUUCUUGAACUCCUUAUUUUAAUUUUUUUUAAACACCAAUUUACCCUCUCUUUGUAUAUUUGUUACAAGACAAUGCAACUUCUAAAAUGUCUUUUGAUGAAUGCAAAAUACUACCACUUGUGCUUUUGUGUUAUUAUUAUUUCUUAUCUUAAGUCUAAUUUUGUAUUUAAUCUCUCUAUUUUAUGAAAAUUGAGAAAUUAAAUUCUUCUGUUUUAAUUUGUUAAAAGUUGGUUCUCGUAUUUUGAUAAGUCUAAUUUAAUCAUACGGUUAAACCUUACUAUUAAAUUAUUGACUCGAAAAUCAGCAUUUCAACGAUUUACAUUUAUAUGUAAAGAAUUAGUAAAAACUAAGAGCACGUUUGGUUCGCUGUAUUGGAAUAGAGGCAUAAUGGAAUAGAGGCGUAAUGGAAUAAAGGUGUAAUGGAAUAGAGGCGUAAUAGCAAAUCAAUUGUUUGGUUGAAUGUAAUGGAAUAGAGGAGUAAUAGUAUUAUUGUGUUUGGUUGAAUGGAAUAGAGGUGUAAUAGCAUAAUGGAAAAAAACUAAAAUGACUAGAAUACCCUUAACAUAAAUUUGUUUAGGUGAAUGAUUAUUGCUAUUGUUAUUAAAUUUUAAUAAGAUUAUUAAUAUAAAUAAUAAAUAAUUUAAUCAUAUUUUAACAUAAUUAUUAUUAAAUAUAAUUUAAUAAAAAUAUAUAAUUUAGUAAAAUUCUUAAUAUUAAAUAUUCUUAUAUGAAUUUUCUAAAAUCAUAAUAUAUAAUACUAUAAAAUAUAAUUUAACAUAAUUAUUAUUAAAUAUAAUUUAAUAAAAAUAUAUAAUUUAAUAAAAUUCUUAAUAUUAAAUAUUCUUAUAUGAAUUUUCUAAAAUCAUAAUAUAUAUAUAAUACUACAAUACUUACAAAUUCUAUUAAUCUGAUCCUAACUUUAAAAAAUUCAAUAAACUUAACCUUCAAUUUUACAUAUUAUAUAAAUUUAACCAUUAUUCUUAAAAUUCAAAAAUAAAAAUUAAAAAACUAAAAAAUUUAAACAUUUAUUUUUCGAUAAAAAUACAUACAAAAUUAUAAAAAUAUUUAUAAAUAAAUGAAUAUCUAUUUUUCUCAUUUUUUAACAUGACAUUUAUUUAUUAGAAUAAUAAAUUUAUAAAUAAAACAAUUUAAGGAGAAAAAGAAAUGAAAAAGAAUUAGACAAAUUUAAAAAAAUAUUAAACAUUAACUUGGCUGGAUCUUGUACAAGGAAAACAAAGCCAUUAACUUGGCAACCAUACAUCUGAAAUAAGCAUAUGAAAUUGAAGUUCAAAAUAAUCAAAGAAAAUGAAGCUUCAAAAUGUGUGACAUUGAACACAUAAUCAAUUACAGAAAAGUUGCUAUGUUUUGGCACUAAAAGCAACCGCAAGCCACAACUACCAGCAUGUCAAGGAUUAAAUUUGUUUUGGCACCAAAAGUAAACCACAAGUCACAAGAACCAGCAUGUCAAGGAUUGAAUUUGUUUGGGCACUAAAAGCAACCGCAAUCACAAGCCACAAGUACCAGUCCAACCCCUUAACCUACAGCUUAAUUGCAGAAACCUUAUGAGCCCUCAAACUGAUAUAUAUUGCCGAAUCUUGGUAAGAAGAAGCAAAGGAGAGAAAAAGGGUUUUCCAGGAAUGAAAGAAAAUGAAAAUGAAUACCUUGAAAACGGCAUAAUUAGAAAACAACAUGCUCAGUUAGUAAGCAAUAAAGAAUAUUUAGUUUAAAUGACAGGAAGGAAGUCUAAUUCAUUAUGCACUCCUUUGUGCUAAUAGGAACCAUUUCAUAGUCGAGCAUACGAACAAUCAGAAACAGAAACUUAUAUAAUAUCCAAGGCAACACCAAUGUUCGUGAAGAGAAUUCAGAAUUACGAACAGCCAAAAACAAAACUUGAAAAUAACCUACAUAAAAGCAUUCAAUGUUAUAUUUCAUAUUUACUCCAGGCUAAUGUUAUUUUCUCCACCAAUUUUAAAAACAUUGAGCAUGACUAACUAUCCACAGAAGCAAGUAAGAAAACGAAAUUCUAAAUUCCACAAAAGAAACCAACUACUGCAAAACUUGAGAGCAUCAGGAAUAACCAUUCUCUUGUCUUGUCAUAUGGUGCAAGAAUCCCCUCAUAAGCCUUCAAUUCACACCAGCGAAAGCUGCCACCCCAUGCUUAGUCUUUGCAAGGAAUCAUCCUGCAAUCAAAGAAAAUAUCAAUUACCAUAAGGACAGUCAAAAUGAAGCCCAGUUAUAUACUCCAUAUAUGCUGAAGCCAAACACAUUGCCUUUGCACCAUAAGAUUCAUAGACCUUGUCAGCUAUUAGUUUUCUCUCAAUCCAACAAUAAUAACCUGAAGCACACUCAUUCUACUCUCUUUCAAUUCGUCCCUACAUUUUACCUAUAACCAACUAUAACAAACACACAGAUCUCUAACAAGAAAAACCAAUAGCAAACUCUCAUUAUUAAACAUAAAGCCAAAUUGAUUAGGAAACUACUUUGGAGGAAGAUUGGCAGUAAGUUGCUCAAGUCAAGACUGGGAAACGGAUCUCUAGAUUCAAUUUUGUAACACAUGCAAGUUUACCAAGUCUACCACUCAUUUCACUACACAAAGACACCCUGAAAAUAUUGCAUUCGAUCAUUUCACAAGAAAAUAGAUUGAUAAUCUAAACAUCCAUCAGUAUUGCAAAUGAUAAGCUAGAAUUGGCAGAGAUUUACAGGUCCACGAUAGAAAGUAAAGCAAUCCAGUAUAAUAGAACCAGAAAGCCUUACAUAGAAAAGAACAUAUAUGAUAUUAAAAUCAAUAAAAACCUGGGAGGAGUUUGUCCCAGCGAAGAGUCCUCUUCAUCACCAGUCGAGUACAAAUUAGUAAAAUUUGACUCGAACUUUUCAUCAUCCACAUCGACUCGUGGUUGCACCUCCAAUUCAUCCAUCAAUUCAUCAUCGGUCUCCUUAUGCUUCCCAGCCAACUUUCUCCGCAAAAUGGCCUCAAGAACUGAAGGGAGUGCCUCUUCAUACCCUUCAAAGUACUUCUUGAUUCGGGUUUUCAGCUUUGGCACCAAAGAACGAACAAAGUUAAACAACAUAACAAAAAAAUAAAUUAAAGACUUGUUCAAAGUCGGGCAAGGUUUAGGGAUUCUGAUUUGGGGAAGAGGGGAAACGGGAAAUGGGGAAAUGGUUGUUAAAGACUUGUUCAGAGAGGGAGCUGGAAAGAGUUGAGUUUUCAGCGUUGGUUGAAAAAGACUGGGAGGGUAAAACAGGGCAUAGAAAUUGGGAAGACGUCCGUAAUAGCUAAUCGCCGUUUUGGGAAGGGAAUACAAAAGCAGAGAUUUUGGGGAAUAGGCCAGUAAUGUAAUACGCCUGUAAUAGGCAUACAGCGAACCAAACGCCGGAUUAGGUGAGGUGCGCGGAAUAGAUGGGUAAUCGCAUACCCAUUACAGCGAACCAAACACGCUGUAACCCUUUCAUUUGUUUACUAGCCAUUCAACAACUCAAUUUUCAUAAAAUAUGUGGAUAAACAAAUUAAAGUCUCAAUUUUAAUGAAGUAUAUGACUAAAAUUCAUAAUCAAACUUGCACCAAAUUGCAAACUUUGUUCACUUUGAAUUACUUUAACGAACCUGGUUGGUAGAGCAUUUUUCUUUUCUUUCUGGUAAGCCUACUUUCGGCAUAUGUUGAUUUCAUACAGAUACACAGUCUACACGUAAUUGCAAACAUUUUUUUUUAUUUUUAGUUAGGAGGAUGAAGGAUUAAAGUUUUUAUAAUAUAAAAAUAAGAAAAUGCUGACAUAUAUUUGGUCCAAAAUAAAAAUAACAUGUUAUAAUAAACGCCGAUAAAGGCGGUAGAACGAUCACAAAGUAAUAAGAAAAGAAAAAAAAACACAGAUUUUAUAUGGAAACCUUUUUGGGAAAAAAUCACGGGUAGAGGAGGAAAAAUUCACUAAUAUUAAAAAAUGAAUAAUACAUGAGGAGUUUCGACUACAUCUAUUCAAUGAUUGAAAAUCUUUAUUUUAAUCAAAGUCAAAUAGAAGAAAAAUAAUUCUAUACAGAUUCAACUUGUGUUAUAUGGUCUCCUUAUUUUGCUACUAUAUUUUUUUCUUCGAUAAGUGACAGGAUUCGGGUUAGACAAACUCUAACAUAGCAAAUCUUGUCCAUGAAGUUUCUUUUCAAUAUCUUGUAAUUUUUUUUCUUUUGAAUAAUUUGUUUAAUAACAAUGGAGGAGUAUGCUUGUUUGAAACUAAAUAUAUUUCAUCGAAUAUUUGUUAUAAAAAUAAAAUUAUAAUGAAGGUAGAAUGGUAAUGGUGAUUCACAUCACAUUGGUGCGGAGAAUAGAGGUAUUUAUGUAUUGGAUUGGAUCUAUAUAUGAUAUUAAUAUACUUUAUAUUUGUUCAAGUUUGAAUCAGCUCGAAAUAUGAACUUAAAAUUUUGUCUAAGCCCAUCCGUAUUUGAAAAUAGUUAACUAAGCCCAUUUUAGACCCACCCAUAUUAUUUUUUAAAAAAAUUAAAUAUAUUUAUAUAAUUUUUAAUUUAAUAUUUAAUAAUUUUAUAGAUUUUUUUAUUUGUUAAAAUUUUAUGUAUAGUCAUCUUAACAUUUUUUAAUGUUUACACCAUAGUAAUAUUAUAUACUACUAUAGAUUUAAUUUUUAUGUAUUAUAAAUUACAUAAUAUAUAAAAAUAAUAUAAUAUAAAAUAAUAAUAAUUUAAAAAUCCAAUCCAUAUUUUAAAGUGGACUAAUUUUUUUUGCUCAAACACAUUUUUUGGGUCUAAUAUUUUUACUCAAACCCUCUCAAAUUUCAAGUAGGCCUUCAGGCUUAGACGGGUAACCCAACCUAUAAGCAAGUCUAGUAGAGAGCUACUAAAAUGGGGUGUUUCACACCAUGGAUGAUGUGGAGAGCCAUUAGAAAUGUUGAUUUUCUGAGAUUUUAUGAGCUUUGAAAGCUUUUUGGGAAAUAUUUGGAGUUGUAGCCUAUAUCCUAGAGUCAUCUUCUUCUUGUGAUGGAGAGGGUGCUUUUGGAGGAAGAGCUUUGAUGUGGGUUCCACUAGAAUAAUGCCCUUCUAUAUAGGGUGGCUGUAGAGACAGGAGUGUUUCAUUAAGAUGUGAUGGGGUGAUUUGAUAUUAGUGUGUAAGAAUGUGUAUAAUAAUUGUCACCCAGUCGAUAGGGAGGUUAUAAUGUGACUUACUUUGGGGCUAUCGAAUGUAAGGAGCAGUCAAUAAGGUUAAUGUAGAUGCUCAUUUGU